Molecule: long non-coding RNA, 67647 nt
Filed under: Capsicum annuum
Lineage: Eukaryota; Viridiplantae; Streptophyta; Magnoliopsida; Solanales; Solanaceae
Description: long non-coding RNA (CANN_LNC000054)
Source: RNAcentral
UCUCAUAUAAAGAUCUGUGCAUAUUUCCAGGCGUAUAUCUUUCUUUUGAUUUUAAAAUGCCGAAGUUUGAGAAGUAUGAUGGACAUGGUGAUCCUGUAGCACAUUUAAGACGCUAUUGCAACCAGCUAAGGGGCGCUAGAGGGAAGGAAGAACUACUCAUGGCUUAUUUCGGGGAGAGUCUUUCAGGCCUAGCUUCGGAAUGGUUUGUUGAUCAAGACAUUGACAAGUGGAUUAGUUGGGAUGACCUAGCUAAUGGAUUUGUUCAACAAUUUCAAUACAAUGUGGAGUUGAUACCUGACGAAAAAUCCCUAACUGGUAUAAAAAAGAAGAAUACUGAGAGUUUCAGGGAGUAUGCGAUCAGAUGGCGCGAACAAGCUGCUAGAGUAAAACCGCCAAUGAAAGAAAGCAAGAUAGUGGAGGUGUUUAUUCAAGCGCAAGAUGAAAAAUAUUAUCAACACUUGUUACCUGCAUUAGGUAAGCCAUUUAUUGAGGUCCUCAAAAUGGGGGAGAUGAUAGAGGAUAGAAUUAAGACUGGUCGCAUUGUGAGUUUUGCAAUAUUGAAAGCGACUACUCAAGCAAUUCAAAAAGGUUCGGGAAGUGUGGGAGGAAAGAAAAAUAAGGAAGAUGCAUCUGCCAUUGCAGUUGGACAACAGGCAUGGGCAAGAGGACCAUACCAUCAUUACCCACGAGCUCAAACACAAGUUUAUGACCAAGCUCCACAGAAUCUUUACCAAAAUCCAUUAUAUCUCAUUCCCCCACCUCCAUAUUAAGUGUAUAAUGCGCAACCUUAUAUUUAACCUCUAUCUUACCCAUACUGGUGUGCGCCAACUCUGCCGAGUCAUCCUCCAACACCAUAUACAUACCGAAUCCCUUCUAAGCCUGGUUUUCAAUUUAAGACAAAUAAUGAAAUAAGACAGAAGUCAUGGGAUAGCGUCACACCCAUUGGAUAGUCGUAUACAAGUUUAUUCCAGAGAUUAGUACAGUAGGGCAUGAUUACUCCUCUCCUUGGGUAUACUCCUGACCCACAUUCAAGAAGUUUUUAUCCUAAUUUAUGAUGUACAUAUCAUUCCAAUGUUCAGGGUCAAAGUAUUGAAGAUUGUUGUACUUUAAAAAGAGAAAUUGAAAAGAUGAUUCAAGAUAAAUCAAUCAUGGUGCAGAACAUUGAUAGUGAGGAAAGAUCUAGUCAUGCUGAUAUGCAAAUCAGUGGCUAAGAUGUCAGGCUGAGCAAUUGAGAAGUCACCCCUCUCCUUACUAGGAAGGGGUUUGGUAGCUUGUUUUGUUUUAUUUUUCUGUUCUCCGAAUUAUUUCAGGGUUAUAGUUCGGGAUCUGUCUUAUUUUGUCCUUUUGUUGUUUAUGUUCAAACUCUUCUAUCUUUUGUUUCGAAUAAAUGAAGUGUGUCAUUUUCCUUUGUGUUUUAAAUAUGGGUUGUUUGUUUAUUUUCUUUACAUAGUACAUUUUGUGUUAACUCUAGUGAUAUGACAUGCUAGUAAAAUUUUCAGCCAGAUCUUAAAAUUCAAUUUAAGCAUGAACAUUGAAUCAGAGGGUUAAAUUUAGAAAAAGAGAGCAUAUGAGAAAAUAGAUAGAGUGCUGAGAUAUUUGGUGACAAGUUAAGGCAAUUAUUUUGAGAAUCACAAGAAUAACUUGGUCAUCGAUCGAAAGAUAAGUCCUAAUUUGGUCAAAUAAUGGACGUGUGAUCCCUAUAUCAAGAGAAACAAGAAGAUAAGCAGCUCCACGAAAUCAUGAGUCAUUUGAUGUGAGGAAUGUACAACAAAGGUGGAGUUUACAAAAGAAGUAGUGACACACAGACUCAAUCUGCUUACAAAUAUGUCGCAAAUGAUCUUCAUCUCUCGCUUCCAAUUGCAUAUUAUGUACUUGCAUUCUCAAGGAUCGAUAUGAUGAAGGCAUUUUAUUCUGCUAUCCAAACAUUGUGUCAUCCUUUGUUUACCCCAUUUGAGCUUUAGUGUUAUUUUCUUUCAUACCCCUCUUUUGGAAUCAAGAUAGAGUAAGCAAAGUUCAAAGAACAGUGUCGAGUAAAAAGAUAAAGUCAAAAAGUUACAAAAAAGAGACAAUGUUUCCAAAAAAGAGUGUCAAGAAAAAUAGAGUUAGAAAAAAGAAUCGCAAAGUGAAAAGAGCGAAUAAAAGAAAAAAAAGAAAAAUCAAAUCAAAUCAAAAGAACAAGCUGCCAGAACUAUGCGUGACCUGAUUCUCCUCUCUCGGGGGUGAGAUACGUAGGCUUCCCUACUCUGGGCUCGGUCCAACAAAAUAAAUAAUUUAUAAUUAGCCAGUCAAAAGAAACUGGGGCAUGAGUCAAUCCUCAUUGUUUGAGUCGAUUCCAAAAGUUAUAAGUCCCACCCCACUUCAAGUGUCGUUUGGGCCCCAUGUCAUCCUUUCUUUCUAACCCUAUCCAAAAGUCAAAUUACAACUAAAGAAAGACCUUCAGAUUAAUCUUUAAGAAUGUUAAGGCUAAGCAUGCAAUGGAUGUGAUGACGCAUUUUGGAAACUACUUGUCUUUCUCAACAUAAGAAAUCAGGAGAGAAGUAAAAAUGAGAGAGUCUUAUUGGUGAAAACCCUCACGGGCACCGUGAGAUGAGAGGAAUAAAAAUGCGAGAGUCUUAUCGGUGAAAACCCUCACGGGCACUAUAAGGCAACGGUGAGUUGAGACAAAUGAAAAUCAGAGUCUCAUUAGUGAAAAACCCUUAUAGACAUCAUAAGGCAAUGAUGAUCUGAGGAAAAUAAAAUAAGAAAGUCUUGUUGGCUAAAACCUUUCAAGGUGCCACUAGCCGAAUGAGGUCUCUGAAUGCAAUUGACCUAAGAAAGUAACUCAAUUUCAGGGUCAUUACCUCAACAACAAUUGGUAGAAGGUUUGGAUGAAAUGAUCAGGCAGCUUAAUCCAAAUGCAUGGCAUAAUCAUUAGAGUUGAUUGUUAUUUUAGAUAAAUUUUUCAUUUCUUUGUUUCAAAUGGGGACUUUCAUUGUCUUUUCUUUCUUCUCUUUAUCUUUAUUUUUAUUUUCUUGAGUCAGUUAUCCAAAUAAAACAAAAGUUGUUGUCAUUUUUCUCUUGUUUUUGAGUCAAGUCCAUGUCAAAAUAAGUGAGAAAAGAUUUCAAAACUGGCUACCAACUUCUUCAAUUGCACAAAGCAAGACAGAAAGGCCAGCACAUGAAAGAGACAUGAUUGUUAGCCAAAAAAGGGCAUGUAGAAGGUUUUGUCAACAGACAAGUCUGGCAACUCAUGAAAAUACCAAGGUUUAAAGGGUUUAUUCAUGAAGCAUGACAAAGUAGAGAUGCUAUAUUUAUUUCAGAGUCACUCAUCAUAAUCCGAGUUUGGUUCAAUGACACGACAAAGCAGGGACAAAUGCCAAUAAUCUGAAACAAAAUAAAGGGAAUGACCACUAGAGCAAGCAUCGGGAUAGCCAAGUGCCGCAAGCCACCACUAAGUUUUUAAAUGACAAUUUUUUUUGUUGAAACAGGGGCAAAUUCUCUUCACUUAAUUCAGCUACCAUUGGAAAUGCACAUUCAUGAGAUUUUACUUUGAGUUCAGGACCCUCCUGAAGAAUGGGAUUUUACUUUCUGUUCAGGACCCUCCUGAAAAAUGAGAUUUUACUUUUUGUUUAGGACCCUCCUGAAAAAUGGGAUUUUACUUUAUGUUCAGGACCCUUCUGAAAAAUGGGAUUUUACUUUCUGUUUAGGACCCUCCUAAAAAAUAGGAAUUUACUUUAUGUUCAGGACCCUCCUGAAAAAUGGGAUUUUACUUUAUGUUCAGGACCCUCCUGAAAAAUGGGACUUCACUUUCUGCUCAGGACCCUCCUGAAAAAUGAGAGUUUACUUUCUAUUCAGGAUCCUCUUGAAAAAUGGGAUUUUACUUUUUGUUCGGGACCCUCCUGAAAAAUGGGACUUUACUUUAUGUUCAGGACCCUCCUGAAAAAUGGGACUUCACUUUCUGCUCAGGACCCUCCUGAAAAAUGAGAUUUUACUUUCUAUUCAGGAUCCUCUUGAAAAAUGGGAUUUUACUUUUUGUUCGGGACCCUCCUGAAAAAUGGGACUUUACUUUCUGUUCAGGACCCUCCUGAAAAAUGAGAUUUUACUUUUUGUUCAGGACCCUCCUGAAUAAUGGGAUUUUACUUUAUGUUCAGGACCCUCCUGAAAAAUGGGUAUUUACUUUCAGUUCAGGACCCUCCUAGAAAAUGAAAAUUUACUUCAAGUUCAGGACCCUCCUAAAAAAUAGGAUUUUACCUUAUGUUCAGGACCCUCCUGAAAAUGGGAUUUUACUUUAUGAUUCAAGACCCUCUUGAAAAAUGGAAAUUUACUUUAUGUACAAGACCCUCCUGAAAAAUGAGAUUUUACUUUUAGUUUAGGACUUUCCUAAAAAAUGGGAAUUUUAUGUUCAGGACCCUCUUGAAAAAUAGGAAUUUACUUUAUGUCCAGGCCCCUCCUGAAAAAUGGGACUUUACUCUUUGUUCAGGACUCUCCUGAAAAAUGGGAUUAUACUUUCAGUUCAGUACCCUCCUGAAAAAUGAGAAUUUACUUUAUGUUCAGGUCCCUCCUGAAAAAUGGGACUUUACUCUCUGUUCAGGACUCUCCUAAAAAAUGAGAUUUUACUUUUAGUUCAGGACCCUCCUGAAAAAUGAGAAUUUACUUUAUGUUCAGGACUCUCCUGAAAAAUGGAACUUUAAUUUCUGUUCAGGACCCUCCUGAAAAAUGGGACUUUACUUUAUGUUCAGGACCUUCCUGAAAAAUGAGAAUUUACUCUCUGUUCAGGACCUUCCUAAAAAAUGGAACUUUACUUUUUAUCCAGGACCCUUCUGAAAAAUAAGAUUUUACUUUAUGUUCAGGACCCUCCUGAAAAAUGGGACUUUACUUUCUGUCCAGGACCCUCCUGAAAAAUAGGAUUUUACUUUAUGUUUAGGACCCUCCUGAAAAAUAGGAUUUUACUUCCUGUUCGGGACCCUCCUUGAAAAUGGGACAUUACUUUCAGAAAAAUGAAAUCUUUCUUUAUUGUAAUCCUUGUGUGAGAUAUUUUUGUUCUAGUUUUGAUUUUGAUUUCAGGAGGGAUUCCGGCAUUUGUAAGGAGACGCACUUCCUUGUUUAGUUAAUUCAAGAAACAUUUGUAAGGAUACGCACUUCCUUGCUUGGGGUAACUCGAGCAACAUUUGUGAGGAGACGCACUUCCUGGUUUGGACAAUUUGAGAAACAUUUGUAAGGAGACACGCUUUCUUAUUUUGGUAAUUUAAACGCUAUUAUGAGGAGAUGCACUUCCAAAGGAGACACACUUUCUUGUUUUUGUAAUUCAAGCGGCAUUGGUUUGGAGACGUACUUCCUUGUUUGGUAAUUCAAGCGGUAUUUGUAAGGAGAGACACUUCCUUGUUUGGACAGUUCAAGCAACAUUUGUAUGGAGACGCAUUUCCUGGUUUGGGCAAUUCAAGCAACAUUUGUAAGGAGACGUACUUCCUAGUUUGGGCAAUUUGAGCAACAUUUGUAGGAAGACACACUUUCUUAUUUUGGUAAUUCAAGCGGCAUUUGAUAAGGAGACGCACUUCCUUGUUUGGGUAAUUUAAGCAACAUUUGUAAGGAGAUGCACUUCCUAAUUUUGGUAAUUCAAGAAAAAUUUGUAAGGAGACACACUUCCUUGAUUGGUUAAUUCAAGCAAAAUUUUUUAGGAGACACACUUCCUUAUUUUGGUAAUUCAAGCGGUGUUGGUAAGGAGAUGCACUUCCUUGUUCGGUUAAUUCAAGCAACAUUUGUAAGGAGAUGCACUUCCUUAUUUAGGCAAUUCGAGCAACAUUUGUAAGGAGAAGCACUUUCUUGUUUGGUUAAUUCAUGAAAACAUUUCUAAGGAGAUGCACUUCCUUGUUUGAUUAAUUCAAGAAGCAUUUGUAAGGAAAGGCACUUCCUUGUUUGAGUAAUUCAAGCAGCAUUGGCAAGGAGAUGCACUUCCUUGUUUUGAUAAUUCAAGCAACAUUGGUAAGGAGAUGCACUUCCUUGUUUGAUUAAUUCAAGAAGCAUUUGUAAGGAAAGGCACUUCCUUGUUUGAGUAAUUCAAGCAGCAUUGGCAAGGAGAUGCACUUCCUUGUUUUGAUAAUUCAAGCAACAUUGGUAAGGAGAUGCACUUCCUUGAUUGGGUAAUUUGUAUUUUGCUUUUUAAGUGAUGUACUUUCUAACUUAAGUCUUGAUUCCUAGAAUAUGCACUUUCUAGUCGAGUUAUCGCACUUAACCCUAAGGAGACACACUUCCUUGCUAGUUUUCAUUUGUUAGGUGGCACACUUUUUAGCUUAAACUUGUAUCUCUUUAAGACGCACUUUCUAAUUAGAAUCCCUCACUUUAAUUCUUAGGAGAUGCACUUCCUAGUCUUGGUUAUUUAAUUUUACUCUUAAGAGAUGCAUUUCUUAGUCAGAGUCUUGAUUCAUCAUUGCAACAUGCAAGUAGGAAUGAUGUGACUUUUCCAAAAGUCUUCUGAUGAUAAACUGGGGCAAAAAUUCAAUUUCUGUUUUUGAAACUUUACUUUUCUGGUAAAUAAAACCUCUUUAUAAUAAUAUUUGUUUGGGGUAAUUUUCUUUUUAGUUUUGAUGUGAUUUAAGGAGCCUGCCCAAAGCACAACGCGAAUAAAUGAAAAACCAAGCAACAAGGAGAAGAAAUUGAAAGUUAAACAGAUUGAAAAAUAGCAAGUCAGGAGCCCGCCUGUAGAACAAGGUGAAGAAGUUGAAAGCAUGGAAACAAGUUGAUGAAAUAGCAAGUCAGGAACCCGCCUGGAGAACAGGGUGAAGAAAUUGAAAGGCAAGUAACAAGUUAAAGAAAUAGCAAGUCAGGAGCCUGCCUGAAGAAUAGGGUGAUGAACCUAAAGUCAGGAGUCCAACAGAUGUUGUAUAGAUAGGAUUUUUGUAAUUUCAUUUAUGUUUUAACUUGUAUUUUCAUUUUUGACGUAAUGAUAGAGCCGUGGACCGUAGCCUCGAUGGGACCUCACUCGACUCUCCAACUCGGUCGUCCUUCUUCCUUUUGUUUCUUCCCUAUGAAUAAUGGGCGGGGCAAAAUUCUGUCUCGUUGUCUACUUCUUUGUAUGAAAACACUUUGUGUUUACAUGAAAAGAGGGGCAUGAUGUAGACACAUAAUUUUGUCCCUCUCCAAAAGCAUUUUACCAUUUUACCCUCGUCUUAGUGUGUGCCCUCACCCGUGUGAUAACCCCUUCACAAAAGACAAAAAAUAACAAUUCCUAACUAAUUUUAUCUUAUUCUAACAAACCCUCCCUAUUAAAAAUGACACACCACCAUCACCACCCUAACUACCCAUGUGAUCCCCUCCUCCUUUUUCUUGUCCACAAAGAAAGAAUAUAUAGCGGACCCACCAAAAUUCCCACAUGAUAACAAAUCCAUGCCCAUUAUAAAAAAAAAUUCUAAGAGGGAAAAGGGAGGCUCAUUCUUUGAUCAUCAUCUUCUCCACAAUAACAACAAUCACAAAAUAAUCUUCCUCACAAGAACAAGAACAAGAACAACAACAACAAAAAAAGGACGCCGGUGAACAGUAACCGGUGAACAGUAUCGGCGAAUAGUAACGACAUGAAAAGUGAUGGUGAACGGUUCAUUAUUUGUCGAGUUGUAUUGUUGGUGUUAAGGUUCAGCUCAAGGUUUCCGGGUGCGGACUCUGUUUAUGCGAAUAACAUUGAGUUUGAAAGCUUCAAAUUUAAGGUCCAAUUCUUUUUUCUCUUUUAUUUAAUUUUUAUGUGAUUGUGAUUGCGUGUGAUUCGAUACCGUGGUUUGUUUAUUUAUGUGAACUGUUGGUGACAUUUGGGUGUGUGAUGUGCUAAGCAUGAUUGGUAAAUUUUCGUUAUUCUCAAUUGGUGGAUUAUGUAUUGAAAUGGGUUAAUCACGUGGUUGAAAAUGAAUUAAGGUGGGGGUUAAAAAUGGAGGAAAAUGAAUAAUGAUUAAUUUUGUUGUAUUGAUAAUGUUGAACAUGAUAGAAUUGUGAUACGUUGAACUUGGUAGGCAAAUGUAGGCCGGGUAGGCAAAUUUAGGAAUAACGAUUUGUUGGAGUGUUUGAAUAUGUGCGUGAAUGGUACUUUCUACUUUAUUGCAUGAAGAUUUUAAAUUGUACUCAUUUGGUCGGGGAAUGCCCCGAAGGAUUUGUAUUGAUUUAUCCGGGGAAUGCCCCGAAGUAGUAUGUACGUAAAGGAGGCUCGUGAUCAAGGCCCGAAACGUCUGGUGGAUUUUAGUUUAGGAUUAGUUUAGAAUAGAAUAGGUUUUAUAUUUCAGCACCUCUUUUAUUUUGGAUUGUAUAAUUUGGACUGAACAUUAUUUUGGUUUGUUUUGAAUUUUGUGUGAUUUUUUUGUUUGCUUGUUUUUGUGUGUUUAUGUGGUUUGUACAUUUGUAAUGUCAAAGUAGCCGAUACACUCCACCAAGAGACCGUGGUCGAACCACGGGAUCGAGGGGUGCCUAACACCUUUCCCUUGGUUAACAGAAUUCGUUAGCCGAAAUCUCUGUUCGCGGAUCAGUUUUUAGAGUCAAACCAUUUCGAAAAGGAUUUUCCAAAGGUGACUUGGCACACUGAAUUAUGCCAAGUGGCGACUCUGAAUAAGAAAAAAUAAUAAUGUAAAUAAUCCUUUUUUUUAAAACAAUUUUUUUAUUUUUGUCACAUUAAUAAUAAAACCCUUUCGAACUUAAAAUACAUAUCUUUUUUUUGGAGUCGAAAAAGGGGUGUGGCAGCUGUGAGGUAUUGGCAAGGCCUAGGUUUGUUAGUGGUGGGCUCCCCUUUUCUAUUUCUGGUAUGAGAAAAGUGUGUAAUAGAUGGUGAGAGUGAGGUGUUGUCUUUUAAUUAGAGGGGCAGAGGUUAGGUGUCCAUUUUUGCUUGGGUGGGUUGUUGGAAUAUUAGAAUGAAAUAAAGUUUAUUAUGACUUGUUAUUUAGAUAAAACAAAACAAAAACAAAAAUAAAUAUAUAAAUAAGUAAAAGAUGAGGUGGUUAUUUAUUUUCUUGGAAAAAAUUAUAAAAAUAGGGUUAAAUUGUGUGAUAUCGAAAUAAAAAAUAUUUUUGACGGGAUAAAAUUAUGUGUCUACAUCAUGCCCCCUUUGAAUGUAAACACCAAAAGUUUUCAUACAAGAAGUAGACAACGAGACAGAAUAUUAUCCCGAUCGUUAUUUGAAGAAAGCAAUAGAAGAAAGAAGAGCAACCGAGUCUUGACUUAGGACACCCUACCUACCCAAUUUAUGAGGGAGUCAAGCGAUAGGUAUCUCAAAGGAUUGAAAGGAUAUGGACUAUACCAAGUUGGAGAGUCGAAUGAGGUUCCAUCGAGGUUCCGGUCCGCAGCUCUGUCAUUACAUCAAAAUGAAAAUUACAAGUUAACAUAUAAAUGAAAUGAGAAAAUCCUAUAUAUGCAGCUUUCCUUGACUCUUGGCUCGAGUUUUAUCGCCCUAUUCUUCAGGCGGGCUCCUGACUUGCAAUUUCUUUUGACUUGUUGCUUGGCUUUCAAUUGCUUCGCUUUGUUGCUCGACUUUCAUUUAUUCGCCCUGCUCUUUAGGCGGUCUUUUGACUUGCCGUUUUUGUCUUUCAAUUUCAUCACCCUGUUCUUCAGGCGGGUUCCUGGCUUGCAAUUUCUUCAAUUUCACAUUUCAUCACCCUGUUCUUCAGGCGGGCUCCUGACAUAUAAUUUUCUCACCCUGUUCUUCAGGUGGGCUCCUGAAACUAGAAUCAAAACUAGAAUGACAAUUAUCCCAAACAAAGAUUAUAAUAAAGAAGGAUUUCAUCAUUUUUUGAAAGUAAUAUCCUAUUUUCUUAGAGGGUCCUGAACAGAAAGUAAGUUCCAUUUUUCAGGAGGGUCCGUAAGCAACAACUUAAAGAAAUAGCAAGUCAGGAGCCCGCCUAAAGAAUAGGAUGAUGAAACUCAAGUCAAGAGUCCAAAAGAGGCUGUAUAGAUAGGAUUUUUGUAAUUUCGUUUAUGCUUUAACUUGUAAUUUUCAUUUUUAAUGUAAUGACAGAGCCGUGGACCGGAACCUCGAUGGAACCUCACUCGACUCUCCAACUCGAUAUAGUCUAUCUCUUUCCAAUCCUUUGAAAUACUCGUGACUUGAUUCUCACAUAACUUGGGUAGGUAGGAUGUCUUAAGUCAAGACCCGGUUGUCCUUCUUCCUUUUGUUUCUUUCUUUGAAUAAUGAUCGGGUAAAAAUUUGGUCUCGUUGUCUACUUCUUUGUCUAAAAACACUUUGUGUUUACAUUCAAAGGGGGCAUGAUGUAGACACUUAAUUUUGUCUCUCCCGAAGUCUAAUUUUAUUCAUUUUUAGUUCACCUCACCAUGUGUCCAACCCUAUGUAAUUAUAUCCCACAAAAAUACAAAAAUAAACAAAAACAAUACCUCUAACUAAUUUAUCUUAUCCUAACAACCUACCCAAUCAAAAGCUUCCACCUCCCUACCCACUCACAUUUUUUUUCCCACAAUAACAAACUAAAAGAAGGGGGACCACAGGUACACCUAGCAAAAAGGACCCAUUUUAUCACCAUCUUCUUCUCUAUAUAUUGGGAACAUACAGACCCCAAUUUUUCUUCUUUUCUUCUUUACUCACAAUCUCACACAUAGGGAAAUUUCCAUAGACACACACCAAAGCCUCACCAUACACACACAUACGAUAGAGUUCAAGGGAGGAGAGGAUGAUCGACUCCAUUUUUUCAUGAAAAGGCACACACACAGUUCAUACACAAAGAUAACCAAAUACACAGACCAUCACAAAAAUUCACACAGUUCAUACACAAAGAUAACCAAAUACACAGACCAUCAAAAAAAUUUACAUACACUGCUCAGACACGAAAGAGGGAUUUCACCAGAUUCUCAAAGGAAUUCACCCACACUCACUAUCACAAAUUAAGGAAUAUGCACACAGUCACUGGGAUUUCAACCCUUAACACACACAAUCCUCCACUAUGUUCGAUUUUCACUACACACUCACACACCAUCAGAGAUUAAGAGAGUGAAGGGAGAUUGAGACAAAAUUGAUCAGAAUUGGAGAAGAAAACAUUAAGAGUGGGAGAUAUUGAGACGAUAGUGAAGAACUAAGAGAGACGAGAUAUACAGUGAGAAAACGGAGGGGGAAGAAAAGAUAAAAGGCAGCUCUGGUUGAAUAUUUCGGCGAUGUUCUCGCCGGAAUCAUCAUCUCAUCUUGUAAUCCAGCUACCUUCUCUCUAAAUCCAUUCAAACCCAUCAAAAACACCCGAUCCUCACCGAAAAUGCAUCAAACCGCUUAAAAAUCCACCAAAAACGUGACCCACUUCUUUUGCUGGCACUGUGGUUGCUAAUUCACACAAGUUCUUGGCCGGAAUUGGAUAUUUUGGGUCGGAUUAGGGCGCUGUAGUUGAAAUUUUGACGUUGUACGCUAAAUCUGGUAUGGGUUCUUGUUAUUCUACGAUUCCUAUGUUCGAUUUGGGGAAAUAGAAAUCAAAGUUGGAUUUGGUUCAUUGUUGAGGUUCAUUGAGUCCGUGAAGCAACUUCCCUCGAAAGAUCUCAUUUGAUAUAAAUUGAGGUCCAAAUUCUCAAACUCUAUCUCUUUUCAUUUUAUAUGUAAUGAUAUCGUUGAUUUGUGUGAUUCAUGUUUGAGUUUGGUGAUUAAUUUUUGAUAGUGUGUUUGAGUUUUCCUUUAAUUGUCGUAGUUCACUUGGUUGAUUUAAUUGAGACUUGCUCAAUAAUGCGGUUGAGAAUUAAUCGGGACGGGGAUUGAAAAUUGGUAAAAAGUGAAUAUUAUGGUAUUUUGGUUCAUUGUUGAUGUUGAAUGUGAUAUGUCGUCAAGCGGGCAGGCAAACAUUAGGUCGGGUAGGCAAAUAUUUAGGAAUAAGUGCAUACUCGUUGAGCUAAUGAAUGCUUGAAAUGCGUUCUGAAUGGUUUGGUUUUAUUGCUUUUGGAUCGAAUAUAUCAUUUAGCCGGGGAAUGCCCUGAGAUACAUUGUAUUUAUUCACCGGGAAAUGCCCCGAUGUACUAUGUUGGCGGAAGACAUUCGUGAUGAAGGCCUGAGGCGCCGGGUAGCCUGGGAGAGUAGUGAGGAUUAGUAUAGGUUAGAUAGGAUUUAUUUUUUGCAUUUUAUUUAUUUUGGGUAUGUAUAAUCGGACUGAACACUAUACUUUGAUUCAUUUUGUUGGGUUUGUUUGUUUGCUUUACGUGCUUCCUUGUGGUUUGUACAUUCUUAGUGUCAAGUUAGCCAAUACGCUACACCAAGCGACCGUGGUCAAACCACGGGAUCGAGGAGUGCCUAACACCUUCCCCUCGGUCAACAUAAUUCCUUAGCCAAAAUCUCUGUUCGCGGAUCAGUUUUAGAGUCAAAAAUCAUUUUGAAAAGGAUUUUUCAAUGGUGACUUGGCUCACCAGAUUAUGCCAAGUGGCUACUCUGAGUUUUUAAAUGUAAAAAUAACCCUUUUUCAGAACAAAUCUUCAUUUUGUCACUUUAAUAAUGAAAACCCUUUCAAAAUUUAAAAUGAAAUUUUUUUUGGAGUUUAAAAAGGGGUGUGACAACCUCAACCACGAACCAAGCUCGAUAUACCUUUUUCUCUAUAUUUCUAGUGACCCAAACAGAAAUCACCCGACCUAGAUUUUGUGCGAACCAAACCCGUCUCACUCUUUUCCAGCGGAAUUCACCGAAAUUGCACCACAAUGGGUCGGUUUCUGUCGAUUUGGGAUGCUGGUUUUGCUAAUUUUUUCCUCGCCGGAGUUCCAGCGGGUUUAGACAGCAUCGGAAAUGGAGAAUGGCCCUAAAUUCAGGGCGACAAUGAUGUUUUCGGUAAGUUUUCACUGGAACUGUUAACCCCCAAUCUGUGUGUGGAAAAAAAAUCCCCUUUUUACUCCCUCGAUCUACUGUUUUUCCAUGCCUCUCUUUCUCGAUCUCUCCUCUCUUUUAAUUCUCUCUUCAAUGCUCGAUUCUCCCUUAAUUUUUCUUUUUCAUGGUGUGGGUAUGUUUAGUCAUGAGGUGUGUGUUGGUGUGUGUGAUUUUCUGUGGUGUAUGAUGUGUGCACCUCACAAUUUCAGUGAACUGUGGUGUAUUCAAUAUGUGGUAUGGUAUAUGUGUGUGAGAUGGUGUUGAUGAUGAAGUGGGUGUGUGGUGUGAGUAUCGAAAAUGGAGUAGUAUUUUUUCCUCUUCUCCCUUUCCUGUAAGCAUCUUCCCUUUCUAGAAUGUGUAUAUUAGGAUGGGGUAGUGGGGUAGGUGUGCACGUGAGUAGGGGUGGGGUGGUGAGGUGUCCGCUUUUAUUGGAGAGAUUAUUAGGAUAGGAUUAAAAUAAGGUAAAAAUUGUUAAGGGUUGUUAUUUUUGUCAUUUUAUGGAGGGAUAAUUACAUGGUUGAGGGUACACGAUAGGAAAAGGUAAUAAUGUGAAAAAUAAUCUUUCGGAGGGACAAAAUUAGGUGUCUACAUUGAUAAUAUCUUAAAAAUUAAGGAUCUUGUCAACAGAAACUGGUGGCUUUUAAUGGGAAAAAACUGCGAACAGAUUGGUUUUUGGCCUCAGAGGAUUUUUACAGACUUGCGAAGUUUUGCUACAAAUAUAGAGUGGGGUGGCAUUGUAUAUAGUCCACCGAGUGUUGAUUUUAUGUUUCAAUAAAUUUUGAAACAAAUACAUCGGUUAAAGAUUUUUAAGAGUUAUGUUUCAAUUAGUUUUGAAACAAAUGCAUCACUUAAAGUUUUGAGUUACAAAGGAAAUGAAUUUGAUAAAUUCAUUAUUCAUAAGUUUUGAGUUACAAAGGAAAUGUAUUUGACAAAUUCAUUAUUCAUUAAGUUUUACGUUAUAGGUUCUUGAAAGAAUGACAUUUUUUUGUUUUAAAACAUACAUGAACCUAUUAACUAUUACUUAAUUAAUAUACUUCUCAUGCAUGAAACUUUCAUCCUAUAAAUAUUGUUUUCUUUGGUUUGAAAAGACAAGCACUCAAAACUACUUUCCCUUUGAAAAUACUUGAGAGACAUUGAUCAAAUGGUGAAAUCACCAAUUCAAGAAUAGAAGAGCAACAUUCUUGAAUGCUACUUGUUUUGUGGCUUAGUUGAAUUCCGGAGAUAGAGUUGUCACUUGUUCUUCCGUUUGCUCGUGGGAGAGACUCCAACUAUCUUCAAGAAGCGUAUUAUCGUGCCUCUAAGCCAAGCAAGUUUUAUUUUGAAUUUCUUGUACAAUUAUCAUUAUUGUUCUAACAAUUUGAAGAUAGUUGUCUCUAUGGCUUCUACAUCAAUAUCAAAUAGUAAUCAUCUUUGCCUAAUCCUAAUUUUGAAAUAUAUGAUGGCAAAGACUUCCCUAGAUGGUGUGGAAAGAUGGAAUUCUUUUUAAAACGAUUAAAGUUGGCAUAUGUUCAUGAAGAUCCUUGUCCUAAUGCUCCUGGUUCUGAGGUAGCAUCUGACGAGGCUACUUUGAUUAAAGAACAAAUUGCCAAAUGGAAAUAUGAUGAUUAUUUGUGCAAGAAUUAUAUUCUGGGAGGAAUGUCUAACAAAUAUUAAGAUCAAUAUUAUGUUAAAUGCAAAUAUGCUAAAGAGAUAUGGGACACUCUUCAAGCUAUUUAUUUAGCCAAAGAGGCGAGUUCUAAGAAAUUUCUUGUUUCAAACUAUAUGGAGUUCAAAAUGAUUGAUGAUAAGUCAAUCACUGAACAAGUACAAGAAUUCCAACUUAUAGCUAAUAAAAUUGUUAUAUCUGGAAUUGCACUUGAUGAAAAAUUUCAUGUUGGUGCUAUUGUAUCAAAACUCCCUCCAUCUUGGAAAGAGUACUGAAGCAAACUCUUACACAAAAAGGAAGAUUUGAAUCUUGAACAAUUGUUGCAACUCUUGCAAAUUGAACAAGAGACACGAUGGCACGAUAAUACUAGUUUGAAGGAACCUGUCAUGAAAGCUCAUAUGGUUGAAGAAAAAUCAAACAAGAAGGAACCUAAAAAUAAGAAUUUUUCAAAGGCAAAGAAGACUACAAAUUUCAAGCGUAAUGGUGCCAAUUUUAAAUUUGGUGAAUGCUAUCAUUGUCACAAAGUUGGUCACUAUGCGCGUGAUUGUAGAAUUCUCAAAGCCGAAAAGAAGAAAAAAAAGUAAAUAAAAAUAAAAAAGAUGAUCUUGUGGCAAUGGUCACAGAAGCAUUUAUAGCGGAAGAUCAAGUGGAAUGGUGGAUAGAUACUGGCACAACUCGACACAUAUCAUGUAAUUAAAAUUCUUUCAAGACUUAUGAAUUAGUGAGGGACGGUAAAAUUGUAUAUAUGGGAAACUCCUCCUCUACUAAAGUUGUGGGAAAAGAAGCUGUUGAACUGAAGUUUACUUCCAGAAAGAUAGUUACAUUGAUGUACGUAUUGCAUGUUCCUGAUAUUCAAAAGAACUUGGUGUCAGGUACGCUUCUUGUGAAGCAUGGUUUUAAAAUGGUUUUUGAGGCAGAUAAUUUUAUUUUAUCUAAAAAUGACAUAUUUGUUGGAAAAGGUUAUGUUGCAAAUGGAAUAUUUAAACUCAAUAUUGAAAAUGAAAACAUUUCUGCUUAUCUUGUGAAGUCUCUGACUUAUGGCAUGAAUGUCUGGGACAUGUGAAUUUUAGAUCCAUUCAACUUAUGGUGAAUAAUGGAUUAAUCAAAGAUUGUGGAAAGAAUCAUGCUACUAAGUGUCUUACUUGUAGUAAAUGCAAGAUUACUAAGAAGCCCUUUAAGACAGUUGAAAGGACUUCCACACUUUUGCAAUUAAUCCACACUGAUAUUUGUGAGAUGGAUUAUUUGUCACGUCAUGGAAAAAGGUAUUUUAUCACUUUUAUUAAUGACUACUCAACAUAAACUUAUGUCUUUCCAUUGAAAAUAAAAGAUGAAAUAUUUGAGACUUUCAAAACAUAUAAAGCAAAAGUUGAAAACAAAUUAAGUGUGAAAAUUAAGUCAAUUAGGUCUGAUAGAGGUGGAGAGUACUUAAAGUCAGAUUUUAUUGAUUUUUGUGAGAGAGAAGGCAUUGAAAAAUAAUUGACCAUGUCCUAUACACCACAACAAAAUGGUGUAGAAGAAAAAAAAUAAGACUUUCAUAGAAAUGGUUAAUUCUAUGCUUUAUGGAUCUGGUAUAUCUGAAAAUUUGUGGACUGAAGCCUUGUUUUCAGCAUGUCAUAUUUUGAAUAGAAUUACUUUCAGGAAUCAUGAUGCAUCUCCAUAUGAACUUUGGAAUAAUUGAAAACCAAAUAUAAAUUAUUUUAAAGUAUGAGGUUGCUUGGCUCAUGUUCGAUUACCAAAUCAAUAUUUAACCAAGAUUGGCUAUAGAGGAGUAGAUUGUGUGUUUAUUAGUUAUUCACAAACCAGUAAGGCUUAUAGAUUUUUAAAUCUUGAGACCCCAAGUCCUCACACAAUUAUUGAAUCUUUACAUGCUAACUUUUUUUAGCAUAUAUAUCCCAAGAAAAAAGAUAUUUUUGAACAAGAUUCAAGUUUUUCUAUUUCUCCUCUUAAAAGGAAAAUAGUUGAGCCAUUGAAAGAAAGUCAACCAAGACGUAGUUCAAGAUCAUCCAAAUCAAAAGACUUUGGACCUGAUUUUCAAGCUUAUAUGGUUGAAAAAGAUCCUGAAAGUUAUGCUGAAGCUAUGUCUUCACAUGAUGCUCCAUUUUGUCGUGACGCCAUUGAUGAUGAAAUGCAUUCUAUAUUAUCUAAUAAUACACGGAUAUUGUCAGAUCUUCCUCCUGGAUGUAAACCAAUUAGUUGUCGAUUGAUUUUUAGGAAGAAAAUGAAAUCCGAUGGUACUUUAGAUAAGUACAAAGCCCGUUUGGUAGCUAAAGGCUUUACUCAAUUAAAAGAUAUUAAUUAUUUUGAUACUUUUGCACCUAUAGCUCGGAUGACCUCUAUUUAUCUCUUGAUUGCUAUAGCAACAAUUCAUAGUCUUGUGAUUCAUCAGAUGGAUGUGAAAACUACAUUUCUGAAUGGAGAUCUAGACGAAGAAGUCCACAUAAAACAACCAGAAGGAUUUGUCAAUCCUGGUCAAGAACGUAAAGUUUGUAAACUUCUUAAAUCUCUUUAUGGAUUAAAACAAGCUCCAAAAUAAUGGCACGAUAAAUUUAGAAAAAUUAUGAUUUUUAAUGGCUACUUAAUCAAUGGUGGAGAUAUCUGCAUAUUUAGUAAAUUUCAAGAAAAUUCUGGUGUUAUAAUUGUCUUUAUGUAGAUGACAUGUUGAUCUUUGGAACUGAUAUUGAAAGAGUCAAAGAAAUAAAAUAUUUUCUUGCUUCUAAGUUUGAAAUGAAAGAUCUUAGAGAAGAUGAUGUAAUUUUAGGCAUCAAAAUUGUAAGAUCGGCAAGUGGUUUGACUCUUACUCAAUCAAGUUAUAUUGAGAAAGUUCUAAAGAGGUUUGGUCAUUUUGACGACAAGACUACUCCUACACCAUUUGAUCCUAACAUCAAACUAGUGCGCUAGUGAUAUUCUUGAUCAAUUGACAUAUUCUCAGAUUGUUGGGAGUUGUAUGUAUGUCAUGCAUUGUACCAUGCUAGAUAUUGGUUAUGCAAUAGGAACUUUGAGCAAGUUUACUGGUAGCCCUGGAGUUGAGCAUUGGAAUACCUUAAUUCAUGUUUUAAGGUAUCUAAAGGCUACAAUUAAUAUUGGCCUGCAUUAUUCUACCUUUCCAACAGUUCUUGAAGGCUAUAGUGAUGCUACUUGGAAUUCUGAUCAGAAUGACUCUAAAUCUAUUACUGCUUGGAUUUUCACUUUGGCAGGAGCAGCAAUAUCUUGGAGAUCAAAGAAGAAUACAUGUAUUACUCACUCAACCAUAGAGUCAGAAUUUAUCGCGUAUGUCUUUUGCUGGAGAAGAGGUUGAUUGGCUGCGGAGUAUGCUGAUAGAUAUUCCAUUAUAGGGUAAGCCAAUACCACCUUUGACUAUAUAUUGUGAUAAUAAAGCUGCAAUAUUUCGGGCUUCAAGUGAUUGUUACAAUGGCAAGUCAAGACAAGUUCGUCUUAAACACAAUCAUAUGAGAAUAUUAUUGGAGGAUGACAUAAUAUCGCUUCAAUAUGUGAAGUCCAAACUCAAUUUAGCAGAUCCUUUGUCUAAAGGGUUAGGCAAGGAAUUGGUGAUACAAACUUGUAAUGGGAUGGGAAUAAAGCCUGUUGUAGAUUGAUUGUACUUUAUGGUAACCCUACCUAAUGAUGUAAUCUUAGGUUCAAAGGGAAAAACAAGUAAAGUUACAAUUGUGAAGCACAUCAAUAAAAUUUUCUUUUUCCCUAGAGAGUGAGUAAAUGUGCACAAGUUGAGAUUUAUUCUCUUGAUAAAUCUAUAAUACCGAUAUCGGUUGGAGUAAAUAAUAACAUUCUUGAUAGAUUUGACAGUAUUCCUACAAAAGAAAAGAAUGAGAUUAUAUUCUCUUAUUAAAUCUAUACACCGAUUUCGGUUGGAGUGUGUAGGAACACUCUAGAUAGAUUUACUGAUACUUUGUUGUAAAGGAGGAUGAGAUUAAUUUCUCUUAAAGAAAUUCAUAGCCUACUUAGUCGGAGCAUGCAAAGUUACUCUUGAUGAAUUCACCGCACAAAGUGCGAAGUGGAGGCCGCUUCAAUAAGAUUUUUACAGGAAAAUCUUAAAGCACUUAGCUAAAAGGAUUCGGGACACAUGGUUGUAAGGUGUCAAAGGAUUUUGAUUUUCACCGGAACAUAGCAACAUGCGUGGAGUAUUUUUCUACUUCAUUCAAUGAACUACAAAGUUCAAGAUUUGUUCACUAAGUAGUCAAUGAUUUAGAAAGUCUUCACUAGCUAAUGGUUCAAGUCCAAAAGACAUCAUUAUUGAUGCAUGUUGCUAGAUUGAUGUCUCAAAUAAAUUUUGUUUUUUUUUAAAGAUAAAAUUUCUUGAAACAAGUGGGGGAUUGUUGAUUUUAUGUUUCAAUAAAUUUUGAAACAAAUACAUCGGUUAAAGAUUUUUAAGAGUUAUGUUUCAAUUAGUUUUGAAACAAAUGCAUCACUUAAAGUUUUGAGUUACAAAGGAAAUGAAUUUGAUAAAUUCAUUAUUCAUAAGUUUUGAGUUACAAAGGAAAUGUAUUUGACAAAUUCAUUAUUCAUUAAGUUUUACGUUAUAGGUUCUUGAAAGAAUGACAUUUUUUGUUUUAAAACAUACAUGAACCUAUUAACUAUUACUUAAUUAAUAUACUUCUCAUGCACGAAACUUUCAUCCUAUAAAUAUUGUUUUCUUUGGUUUGAAAAGACAAGCACUCAAAACUGCUUUCCCUUUGAAAACACUUGAGAGACAUUGAUCAAAUGGUGAAAUCACCAAUUUAAAAAUAGAAGAGCAACAUUCUUGAAUUCUACUUGUUUUGUGGCUUAGUUGAAUCCCGAAGAUAGAGUUGUCACUUGUUGUUCCGUUUGCUCUUGGGAGAGACUUCAACUAUCUUCAAGAAGCGUAUUAUCGUGCCUCUAAGCCAAGAAAGUUUUAUUUUGAAUUUCUUGUGCAAUUAUCAUUAUUGUUCUAACACCGUGUGUACCUGAACCUCCCAUGGGCUCAAGCUAUUUUCCCGUUAUGAACUCUGGUUAUGAUGGUUAUUGCAGGAGCAUAACAAUUUUGAACGUAAAAGGAAACACGAUUGAAGUAGACAGAACAACUACACAUACAGAUAAUCCUAAUAUGUACCGAGUUUCGCUUGUACAAUUUCGGUCUGGUUCAGAGUCAACCCGUUUUGUUUUAUAUGGUGGACCUGGUGAGAGUACACCAAUUUAAGUAUUGUUAAUUGCUACUAUAUUGACAGUUAUGUUUAAUGUCUAAUGAAAUAUUGAGCAACUCUUGUUGAAUUUGAAUUGGAUAACUCUUUUAUUUUUUUGUUUUUCACUCGAUGUCUGGUAUCCACAUUGAAACCCGAUUAAUUUAGAUACGCGCCGCGUAAGAAUUGGAUAACUCUUUUAGUGAACGUAUCUAUCAAUUUAUUUCUUGGAGUCUAUAAAUUGUCCAUAAACAACAAGAGUUUAGAGCCUAUUUACUAUACAUAGCUAUACUUUUUAUAAUAACAAACUUCGACUUUUUAUGUUUUUCUUACUUUCUUUCUUUCUUCUUGCCUUUUUUUUCGAAUUUAAAAUUUAAAGUUUGUGGGUUCUCCACAUUAGACAAAAAUAAAAUGAAAUAAUAACUUACAGGAUUUGUGCCCACAAUUGAGAGAUCAACAAAAAUUUUGCAAGUGAUACAAGAAAAUCAAGGAACACACGGAAUUGGCUUAAAACAGUCCAAACACACUCCAAAAACAGUCCACUAAUUCAAAGAAUCGAGGACCCUUUUGAAGACCACUCUCGGAUUCAACAAUGAAAUACAAAAAGGACAAUAUAACUAGGUGUUUGACACCCUUUGCAGCCAAUAACAAACUAAGUUAACAACACAAGAUGAAACAACAAUGAGAAGAAGAAGAACAACAACAACAACAACAAAAACGGCUUCACAAUACAAGAUACAAAACGGAUACAAGAUUACAAAAGAAAAAAGAUAGAUAGAAAGACCACAUGAAGGUAUAAUAUUAAGAACCCAAUAAUGGUAACUCUUGGACCCUUAACACUACACACAACAAUAAACCUAUCUCUUAUAAAGACACAAGAUCGGAAUCCACCUCCCAAGCAUCAAUGUUUCCAAGUAAAUGCAAACACAAGUGAUUCUACACUUGUCUAAGUCCUAAUUUCGGUUUUGGGUGCCUCAAGGAAAGAGGACUUGUGUUUCUUUGUAUUGUAAGACUUACAAUUUCAUUCAUAAACUAAGUCUAAAACCCUACAAUGUUCCUUUUAUAGUUAUUACAAAAUAUAAGUUAAAAUGACCAAAAGGCCCUUCAAAGAGUGGGCACCCGUCUAGUGUAAUUUAUGGGCUAAUUUGGGUGCAUUUUGGGCCUCUUUUACACUUCAAUUGCACAUGUCAAGGCUCGAGUCCAACACGCACUCUCCUAAGUCAAUAGCCGUGAUUAUUCCCGUAUCAACAAGUCUCUCUGCUCUGUUAGACCAACAUCAAACUUUAUUUAUAGAUUUCCAAACUAUAAUUUUUAUAUAUUUAUUAGAUUAAUCAAUAUAAAUAUAAAAUUCACAUGAAAGUUACUGAAUUAUCAGUAAUUGGUCCAUCUUUUUCUUAGAGGAGAUAAUGGAGUAAGUUAGAAAAAUAUGAUUGAGAGAGCUGUUAUUACUUUCCUCGUUACGGUAAUCAUUGCCAAAUCAUAGCCAGACUAUUAUCAAAUUAAAAUUCGAAUCAAAAUCACUAUAAUUGAAUAGUUCGGAAUUUGGAAAAACAUCAUAAAUAAUUCCUUAACUAUAAGAGUUGGUCAAAAUAGUCUUUUAACUAUACACUUAUUAGUUUUGAUUCUUUAACUAUUUAAAAACUUAUCAAGUUUGAUCUUUGACUAUUUUUUAUUUUUAUAAAAAUAACGUAGGAUUUAUAUUAAUGAAAUUCCUACUUUCAUGAAAUUAAAUAGUAAUUGUAGACACCUAAUUUCGUCCCUCCCCGAUAUCAUUUUUACCCAUUUUUAUCUUAUGCUACCAUGUACCUUCAUCCGUGUGAUAAUCCCUCCACAAAAUGACAAAAAUAAAAAUCCCCUAACCAAUUUUAUCUUAUCCUAACAACCUGCCCAAUCAAAAUAAAUCACAUCACACCCUACACCUGCCCCUACCCCUACCUCACUACCCCACCGACCCUACCCCACAACCACACAAUUCCAUAGGCAUAUAUACAACAAAAGGGAAAUCAUUAGGGGAUCCAUUUUUUUUAUUUUUUUUCAUUCCACAGAAUUCCAUCUUUGUUUUCCUUUUCUUCUACACAUACACACAGAAAACACACGAGCACUCAUCUUCAACAAUAAUCCCCUCACCAUCACACACUCUCCACACGCACCUCUCUCAGAUCCCAAAUCACACACACAUACAUAGAGGUCGAGAAGGAAAUCAUGAGGAAGAGGAGGAAUUAAGGGAGUAGCGAAGAGUGAGAGAGAGUAACAAAGAGAGAGAUAUAGUUAUUUUGAUUUCGGGUUACUGUUCCGGCAACCCAGUCACUGAAUUUUGACAUUUUUUGUUAGCUUACUCCCUUCAUAACUCACCGAAAAAAAGAUGACACACACAGAGUAAAGGGAGACAGAGAAGAGAGGAACAGAGCGAGAGAGAGAGCUAGAUGAAGUGAAAGAGAGAACUGGUCGGAGUGAUAGAUCAGGAGAGAGAGAAAGAAAAUAGAUAAGGGAACUAGCUCGAAUUUCGGUGAAGCCUCACCGGAAUACAUCAUCCCGCACUGCCGAACUACCAAAACUCCGAAACCAGCAAAAACACCCAAAAAAAUUCAAUCAAAACCAGACCAAUCCCACGUUCUUCAUACUGUUUGGGUCGACGGAGCUCUUACAAAGCCGUGAAUGAUAACCUACUCCGAUUCCGAUGGGAUUCUCCAAUAGUUAAUUUGAAAUUUGUGAUUUGAUGUUCGUAUUAAGGUUUUGACACUGGAUUUUGAAUCUGUACGGUUGCUAUUCGUUGAUAUCGAGUUAUUUUUUCCAUCAUUGAAGUUGAUUUGAGGUUCUCGGGAUGACUCUUUAUUUCUAUCAUAAAUCGAUCGAAAAUAUUCAGAAGUUGCGAGGUCGACGUUGAGGUUACAGUUGGGUCGAGGUUUCGUUGCCCGUGAAUUCCAAUCCAUCACUGAUUUUGGAAUAAAGUGAACGAUUGAGGUCCAAUUCUACAUCUCUUAUCUCUCUUUUCGUGAAUAUUUUUGAAUGGUGUGAUUUUUGGUUGAAUUUGGUUGAGGUGAUUUUAUUCAUCGUUAUCUGAUUGUUAAUCCUGGUGUGAAGUAUGUUAAUCACGUAGUUGAUUUGGGGUUAAGUUGGAUUUUGAAAAAAAAAAGAAAAAAAAAGAUCGAAAAUUGUAAAAAGUGAAUAUUGAUUUGUGUUGGUUUAGUGACGAUUGCUUGAUUUGGGAUAAACGUCGACUUUGUUAAGUUCGAUAGUAUCAUGUUUUAGGUCGUGAAUCAUUAGGCAAACUUAGGGAUUGUGAAAUUGGUGAAAUGUCUGAAAUAUGUGUUGAAUGGAUUUGUUUUCUCGCAUUAAAAAUUGUUCUCAUUUGGUCGGGGAAUGCCCUGAAGGAAUUGUAUUUAAUCACCAAGGAAUGCCCUGAAGUAUCAUGUACAUGAAGAUGGCGCACGAUCAAGGCCCGGAGCAUCGGGUGGAGAAAUAAAUGGAGCGUAGUUUAGGAUUAGUGUAGUUUAGUAUAGCUUUAGUUCAGUAUUUUCUAUUUUGGGAUUGUAUAAUUGGACUGAAUACUAAAUCUUGAUUUGUUUUGUUUGUUUGUUUUGAUUGAUUGUUUUAUGUGUUUUGUCUGGUUUAUACAUUCGUAAUGCCAAAAUAGCCGAUACACUCCACCAAGCGACCGUGGUCAAACCACGGGAUCGAGGGGUGCCUAACACCUUUCCCUUGGUCAAAAGAAUUCCUUAGCCGGAAUCUCUGUUCGCGGAUCAGUUUGAGAGUCAAAAAUCAUUUUGAAGAGGAUUUUCCGAUGGUGACUUGGUACACCAGAUUAUGCCAAGUGGCGACUCUGAGUUUUUUUUUUUAAAUGUAAAAAUAAUCCUUUUUUAGAACAAAUCUUCAUUUUGUCACUUUAAUAAUGAAAACCCUUUCGACCCUUAAAAUCAAAUCUUUUUUUGGGGUUAGUAAAAUGGGGUGUGACAGCUUUAGCGACUCUGUUGGGGAUUCUUUUCAGAAUUCGAGCUUAUUUUGGAGUCGUAUCGGCUUUGUUUGGCAUUACGAGUGUAUAAGCAUUAUUUGUGAUUUUUGUUUGUGUUAUUUUUAUCACUUUUGUGCGAUUUCGUGCUCUUUGUUUACAAUAUUUAUCUUAUGUGUUACCGCUUUAUAUCUGGCAUCAUGUGUCUACCCCCAGUCCUUCUUUCGGCAACAAGUCCGUAGUACACGUGUUGUACACGACCUCUAGUUGAGUCACCCUUAUUUUAGGGGGGGAGCCGUCGGUGUUAUGGAGUAGGUGAAAAGCAAAGCAGCCACUAUCGACCAUACGCUCCCCCGAACAGCCUUGUUAGUGAACCACAACGUAGGUCAGCCUAUAGGUCAUGCUUAUGUGCAUCAUACUGAAACCUAGCGGGACCCAUAUGGCCCUUUGUAGGAGACUCACCUCUAACGCAUCCCUACAUGCUAAAUGUUGCAUCUUUAAGGGUAAUGGGGUCAUUUGACGAACUGAUUUGGUGAAAAUAUGUGUUAGAAGUAAGGUGCGUAGGCAAGAACUGUUAAAAAAAGUUAUAGAGAAAAAAGUGAAGUGAGUUGAAAAGAAGAAGAAAAAAAGAGUGCCGUAGCUUUUAGUGUUCUUUACGGCUUUUGUUCUUCACAAUCCAAAAAAAAAAAGAUUUUUACCUUUUGCACUCGUUUCUCAAAAACAAAAAUAUCAAAAACAUUUUUCCUUUGUCUCGUUUAGCAUGCAUUCACAAUUCAAAAACUUCAAAAGAUUUUUUAUUCAUAGGAGUUUUUAUAAAACAAAAAUGCAAAAAUUGUAGGAGUUUUGUACAUUUCACGAAAAUACCAAAAGAUUUUUUUUCUUCGUAGUUGUUGGUGUCAUUUUUAGCUGAAGUGUCUAAUUAAAAAUCCAAAAGAAAAAAAAAUAUUUAUUUAUCUUUGGCUGUGUCUCUUAAGUUAGGGUGCAAUCCGUUAUUUAAUCAUUAAUUGUCCAAUCUGGACGAACUACGCACCCCUGAUUCUCUUCUUUCGGGAUGUGAGAUACGUAGGCAGCCAAUUAUUAGUUCGGGGAUCUAAUUUAAAAAAUUCAAAAAAAGAUUUUCUUCACUCUUUAUUUAGAGUAGGUGUUUCAUACAUAUCUUGGAAAGAAAAAAAGAGUAAAAAAAAAAAAUUUUCCUCAAUAGUCGUAGGUUUCAUUUUUGGUUGAUCUUAUUUCAACAAUCCAAAAAGAGUUUCUUCACUCUUUAUUAGAGUAGGUGUUUCAUAUACAUCCUUAAAAGAAAACUACAAAAAGAUUUUUCUUUAAUAGGUUCAAGUUUCAUUUUCAUAUGAAAUUCCAAAUUGAAAAUCCAAAAAGAUUUUUUCUUUGGUAAUCAUAGGUUUCAUUUUGUAUAGGAAUUUUAAACGUGAAAAUGCAAAAAAGAGUCUAUUCUUUUGACAAUUUGUUAUUUUCUUCUCUUUGUAAAGUUUCAAGAAAAGAAAAAAGAAAGGAAAAAUUUUAAUUGGCCAUUUUGGCAAAACUUCACGAACUACGAACACCUGAUUCUCCCCUUUUGGGGGUGAGAUACGUAGUCUCCCUUCUUGGGUUUGGUGAUCUUUUCAAGAAAAAAAAUAAGAGGUUUUGAAAAAAUGUUGAACUCUAACCAUUUUUUAUCUCUUGUCCAGUUAGUUUAAGGUGGUUGGUUUGUGGCAUUUUGGCUGGUCCUCCAUAUUGCUCCAAGUCACAGAGAAAGUUAUGGCCAACAAGGAUACCGAGUUAGUUGUCACUAAUCAGAUAGGGAGUUCGGGGAAUGAGAAUGUAGGAGAUAAUGAAGAUGUUCGGAAAUUAAGGCGGCAAAUAAUAGAAAUGCAUCGAGCUUGAGCUAAUGGGUUGCCGCCUCCUCCAAUUCCCACUGAUAAUCUGAAAUAUCUUUCUAGCUUGCCUCCCGUAUCACAUGCACAAUUUCUCAUUUUUGUUGAUAUGCCACAACAUGGAUCAGGAUCGACUCCGGGGCAACAAUAUCCGACCACUUCCAUUGUUAAUUUCCUCACUCCUCAAUCCAAGACUACCACAUACUCGACUCCAGCUAUUGUUCAUGGUUUUGCGGCGCCACCCCCACCUGAAGCUCCUACUUUUGAUGUUCAUCCAUAAGUUGUGCCUCCCUAUUCUAUAAGAGAGCCUGCAUUGAAUAUUUUUAGUGAUCAGCAUUAUGCUCUCGAGCCUACAUUUAAGUCGACUGGUCCUUACGAUUGCCCUCAACUGCCUGAAUUUCCUCCUAACACUCAGAAGCCUGUUAUGACAUAAGAACAAGAGGAAAUAUCCAGAAAAUUGAGAAGUUUGGAACUGACUAUGAAAAACUUGCAAGGACUUGGGGGGUACAAAAGUGUCCCAUAUAAAGAUUUGUGCAUGUUUCCUGGUGUACAUCUUCCUCUUGGUUUUAAAACGCCGAAGUUUGAGAAGAAUGAUGGGCAUGGCGAUCCUGUAGCACAUUUAAGAUGCUAUUACAACCAGCUAAGGGGCGCUGGAGGGAAGGAAGAAUUACUCAUGGUAUAUUUCGGUGAGAGUCUUUCAGGUCUAGCUUCAGAAUGGUUUGUUGACCAAGACUUUGACAAAUGGAUUAGUUGGGAUGACCUAGCUAAUGAAUUUGUGCAACAAUUUCAAUACAAUGUGGAGUUGAUCCCUAACAAAAAAUCCCUAACUAGUAUAACAAAGAAGAAUACUGAGAGUUUCAGGGAGUAUGCGAUCAGAUGGCGCGAACAAGCUGGUAGAGUAAAACCGCCAAUGAAAGAAAGAAAAAUAGUGGAGGUGUUUAUUCAAGCACAGGAUGAAACAUAUUAUCAACACUUGUUACCAGCAUUAGGCAAGUCGUUCAUUGAGGUCCUUAAAAUGAGGGAGAUGAUAAAAGAGGGAAUUAAGACUGGUCGCAUUGUGAGUUUUGAAACAUUGAAAGCGACUACUCAAGUAAUUCAAAAGGGUUCAGAAAGUGUUGGGGAGAAAAAGAAUGAGGAAGGUGCAUCUGCAAUUAUAGUUGGACAACAAGAAAGGUCAAGAAGACCACGUCGUCAUCGAUCUCAGGCUCAAGCUCAAGUUUAUGCCCAAGCUCUACAUAAUCACUCCCAAAAUCCAUUGUACUCUGUUCCUCCACAUCCAUAUCCAGUGUAUAAUGCACAACCACAUGUCCAACCCUCAUCUUACCCACAAUGGCAUACCCCAACACCCCAAAUUCAUCCUCUAACUAAAUAAACAUACCCAAACCCUUCUAAGCUAGAUUUUCUAUCCAAGCCAAACAAUGAAAUGAGGCAGAAGUCGAGAGAUAGUUUCACACCAAUUGGAGAGUCAUAUGCCAGUUUAUUUCAAAGAUUGGUACAGGAAGGAAUGAUCACUCCUCUCCUUGGGCACACCCUUAAUCGGUGUUCAAGAAAUAUUAAUCCUAACGCACAAUGUGCGUAUCACUUUGAGGCUCAGGUUCAUAGUAUUGAAGAUUGUCGAGAUUUGAAAAGAGAAAUUGAAAAGAUGAUUCAUAAUGGAUCAAUUAUGGUGCAGAACAUUGACAGUAGUGGAAGCUUUAGUCAUGUUGAUAUGCAAACUAGUGGCUAAGUUGUCAGGCUGAGCAAUUGAGAAUUUACCCAUCUCCCUACUAGAAAGAGGUCUGGUAGUUUAUUUUGUCUUCUUUUUUGUUUUCUGAAUUAUUUCAGGGUUGUAGUUCGGGAUCUAUCUUGUUUUGUCCCUUUGUCGUUUAUGUUCAAACCCUUCUAUCUUUCAUUUUUAUUAAAUGGAGUGUCCCCUUUUCCUUUAAGUUUUAAAUUUGUGUUGUUUGUUUGUUUUCUUUACAUAGUACAUUUUAGGUUGAUUCUUCGUGAUAUGACAUGCUAGUGAAAUUUUCAGCCAGAUCUUAAAAUCCACUUGAUCAGGAAGCAUUGGAUCAAAGAGUUAAAAUUAGGAAAAUAAAGUAUCUGAGAAAAUAGAUAGAGUGUCGGGGCAUCUGGUGACAAGUUGAAGCCUUUUCUGAAAAUUAAGGCACUUAUUUUGAGAAUCACAAGAAUAACUUGGUCAUCAAUUGAAAGACAUGUCUCAAUUAGAUCAAAUAGUGGCCGCGUGAACAAAAAGAAAAUUAGCUCCACAAAAUCAUGAGUCAUUCAAUGUGAGGAAUAUGCAACAAAAGUGGAGUUGUAUGCCAUAUAAACGCAGAAUAAAUAGUGAUGCACAGACUCAGUCAAAGUUAAUGCUGUAAAAGAUGUCAAAAGAUCUUCAUCUUUCACUUUCAUAUUGCAUGAUAUGUACUUGCAUUUUCAAAGAUUGAUAUGACGAAGGCAUUUCAUUCUGCUAGCCAAACAUCGUGUCAUCCUUUGUUUACCCCAUUUAAGGUUUAGUCUUAUUUUCUUUCAUACACCUCUUUUGGAAUCAAUAUAGUCAGCAAAGCUCGAAAGAAAAGUGUCGAGCAAAACAAUAGUCAGAAAAGUUCAAAAAAAAAAAGAAAAAAAAAUGUGUCAAAAAAAGAGUGUCAAGAAAAUAGAGUCGAAAAAAUCCCCAAAAGAAAAGAAUCAAUAAAAGAAAAGAAAAAAAAUCAGAAUCAAGCAAAAGAACAAGAUGCCAGAACUACACAUGACCUGAUUCUCCUCUCUCGGGGGUGAGAUACGUAGGCUGCCCUACUAAGGGCUCGGUCCAACCAAAUAAACAAUUUAGAGUCACCCAUUCAAAAGAAACUGGGGCAUGAGUUAAUCCUCAUUGUUUGAGUCGAUUCCAAAAGUUGUAAGUCCUACCCACUUCAAGUGUCAUUUGGGCCCCAUGCCAUCCUUUCUUUCUAACCUUAUCCAAAAACCAAGUUACAACCAAAGAAAGACCUUCAGAUCAAUCUUUGAGAAUGUUAAGGCUAAGCAGGCAAUGCAUAUGAUGACGCAUUUUGGGAACUGCUCUUCUUUCUCAGCAUAGUGAAUUAAGUGAGAAACAAAAAUGAGAAAUUCUUAUUGGUGAAAACCCUUACGGGCACCAUAAGGCGAUGGCAAGUUGAGAAAAAUAAAAAUGAGAGAGUCUUAUUGGUGAAAACCCUCACGGGCACCAUAAGGCGAUAAUGAGCCGAGGGAAAAUGAAAGAAGCUUAUUGGCGAAAAUCCUUCAAGGCGCCACUAGCCGAAUGGGGUCUUAAAUGCAAUUGACCUAAGAAAGCAACUCAGUUUCAAGGACAUUAAAUCAACAACAAUGGGUACAAAGUUUGGAUGAAAAGAUCAAGCUGCUUAAUCCAAAAUGCAUGGCAUAAUCAUUAGUGUUGACUAUCAUUUUUAGAUGAAUUUUUUGUUUCUUUGUUUUAAAAGGGGACAUUCAUUGUCUUUUCUUUCUUCUCUUUAUUUUAAUUUUAUCUUUCUUGAGUCAGUUUUAAAAACAAAAAUUGUCAUUUUUUUUUUCGUUUUGUCUUUGAGUCAAAUCCGUGUCAAAACAAGUGAGAAAAGAUUUCAAAACUGGCUACCAGCUUCUUUAAUUACACAAAGCAAGACAAAAGCUAGCACAUGAAAGAGACAUAAUUGUGAGCCCAAAAAGGGCAUGCAGAAAGUUUUGUCAACAGAGAAGUCGGAAAACUCAUAGAAAUACCAAGGUUCAAAGGGUUUAUUUGAGAAACACGACAAAGCAGAAAUACUGUGUUUGUUUCAGAGUCACUCUUAAUAAGCUGAGUUUGAGUCAAUGAUACAGCAAGUCAAUGACAUAUGCUAAUGGUUGGAAGCAAACCUAAAUGUGACUGGGGCAGGAGCAAUUGCCUCAAAAGCCAAAGCCACAAACUAGCCACCAUGUUUUUAAACUCACAAGUUUUCUUUGUAUGUAAUAGGAAUACAUGUUGCAUUCAGAUAAAGGAUUUCAGGGCCUAAACAUCAAAGGCCGUAAUUGCUCACCUCAACAAAUGUAAGAGGCAAGGUUGCUGCAUAGGUUUGGUAAUCAAAACCAUGGUAAAACUCAUAAUUCAAGAUCUCUAGGAGACGUACUUCCUUGUUUUGGUAAGUCAAGCAGCUUUGGUAAGGAGACGCACUUCAUUAUUUUGAUAAUUNNNNNNNNNNNNNNNNNNNNNNNNNNNNNNNNNNNNNNNNNNNNNNNNNNNNNNNNNNNNNNNNNNNNNNNNNNNNNNNNNNNNNNNNNNNNNNNNNNNNNNNNNNNNNNNNNNNNNNNNNNNNNNNNNNNNNNNNNNNNNNNNNNNNNNNNNNNNNNNNNNNNNNNNNNNNNNNNNNNNNNNNNNNNNNNNNNNNNNNNNNNNNNNNNNNNNNNNNNNNNCUUUUAGUCGAUUCAUCCCCUUUGAUUCCUCUAAGACGUACCUUUUAGUCGAGUCAUUCCCUUUGAUUCCUAUAAGACGUACCUUUUAGUCGAGUCAUUCCAUUUGAUUCCUAUAAGACAUACCUUUUAGUCGAGUCAUCCCCUUUGAUUCCUAUAAGACAUACCUUUUAGUUGAGUCAUUCCUUGAUUCCUAGAAGACGUACCUUUUAGUCGAGUCAUUUCCUUUGAUUCCUAUAAGACGUACCUUUUAGUCGAGUCAUUCCAAUUAACUCAUAGAAAAUGCAUUUCUUUACUUGAGAUAAUUUUCUUUUCAGUUUUGAUGUGAUUUCGGGAGCAUGCCCGAAGCACAGGGCGAAUAAAUGGAAAACCAAGCAACAAGGUGAAUAAAUUGAAAGCAUAGCAACAAGUUGAUGAAAUAGCAAGUCAGGAACUCGCCUGGAGAACAGGGUGUAGAACUUGAAAAGCAUAGAAACAAGUUGAUGAAAUAGCAAUUCAGGAACCCGCCUGCAGAACAAGGUGAAGAAGUUGAAAGCAAGGCAACAAGUUGAUGAAAUAGCAAGUCAGGAAACCGCCUGGAAAACAGGGUGAAGAAAUUGAAAGGCAAGAAACAAGUUAAAGAAAUUGCAAGUCAGGAGCCCGCCUGAAGAAUAGGGUGAUGAAACUCAAGUCAAGAGUCCAAAAAAAACCUGUAUAGAUAGGAUUUUUGUAAUUUUAUUUAUGCUUUAACUUGUAAUUUUUAUUUUAAUGUAAUGACAAAGCCGUGGACCGGAACCUCGAUGGAACCUCACUCGACUCUCCAACCCAAUAUAGUCCUUCUCUUUACAAUCCUUUGAAAUACCCGUGACUUGAUUAUCUUAAAACUUGGGUAGGUAGGAUGUUUUAAGUCAAAACUCAGUUGUCCUUCUUCCUCCUAUUUCUUUCUUUGAAUAAUGGUCGGGUCAAAAUUUGGUCUCGCUGUCUACUUCUUUGUCUGAAAAUACUUCGUGUUUACAUUCAAAGAGGGCAUGAUGUAGACACCUAAUUUCGUCCCUCCCCGAUAUCGUUUUUACCUAUUUUUACCUUAUCCUACCGUGUACCCUCUCCCGUGUGAUAAUCCCUCCAUAAAAUGACAAAAAUAACAAUCCCCUAACCAAUUUUAUCUUAUCCUAACAACCUACCCAAUCAAAAUAAACCACAUCACACCCUACACCUACCCCUACCCCUACCCCUACCCCUACCCCUACCUCACUAUCCCACCUACCGUACCCCACAACCACACAAUUCCAUAGGCAUAUAUACAACAAAAAAGGAAAUCAUUAGGGGAUCCAUUUUUUUUAUUUUUUUUUCAUUCCACAAAAUUCCAUCUUUUUUUCCUUUUCUUCUACACAUACACACAAAAAACACACGAGCACUCAUCUUCAACAAUAAUCCCCUCACCAUCACACACUCUCCAUGCGCACCUCUCUCAGAUCCUAAAUUACACACACAUACAUAGAGGUCGAGAAGGAAAUCAUGAGAGAGAGGAGGAAUAAAGGGAGUAGCGAAGAGUGAGGGAGAGCAACAAAGAGAGAGAUAUAGUUAUUUUGAUUUUGUGUUACUGUUCCGGCGACCCAGUCACCGAAUUUCGACAUUUUACGUUAGCUUACUCCCUUUACAGCCCACCGAAAAAUAGAUGACACACACAGAGUAAAGGGAGACAGAGAAGAGAGGAACAAAGCGAGAGAGAGAGCUGGACGAAGUGAAAGAGAGAGCUGGUCGGAGUGAUAGAUCGGGAGAAAGAGAAAGAAAAUAGAGAAGGGAACUACCUCGAAUUCUGGCGAAGCCUCACCGAAAUACAUCGUCCCACAUUGUCGAACUACCAAAACUCCAAAACUAGUGAAAACACCUAAAAAAAAUUGAUCGAAACAAGACCAAUCCCAUGUUCUUCGUACUGUUUAGGUCGACGGAGCUUUGACAGAGCCGUGAACAAGUACCUACUCAGAUUCCAACGGGAUUCUCCAAUAGCUAAUUUGAAAUUUAUGAUUUGAUGUUCGUAUUAAGGUUUUGACACUGGAUUUUGAAUCUGUACGGUUGCUAUUCAUUGAUAUCGAGCUACUUUGUCCCUCAUUGAAGUUGAGUUGAGGUUCUCGGGACGGAUCUUUAUUUCUUUCAUAAAUCGAUCAAAAAUAUUCAGAAGUUGCAAGGUCGACGUUGAGGUUCCAGUUGGGUCAAGGUUUCGUUGUUCGUGAAUUCCAAUCCAUCACUGAUUUUGGAAUAAAGUGAACGAUUGAGGUCCAAUUCUACAUCUCUUAUCCCUCUUUUCGUGAAUAUUUUUGAAUGGUGUGAUUUUUGGUUGAAUUUGGUUGAGGUGAUUUUAUUCAUCGUUAUCUGAUUGUUAAUCCUGGUGUGAAGUAUGUUAAUCACGUAGUUGAUUUGGGGUUAAGUUGGAUUUUGAAAAAAAAAAGAAAAAAAAAAGAUCGAAAAUUGUUAAAAGUGAAUAUUGAUUUGUGUUGGUUUAGUGACGAUUGCUUGAUUUGGGAUAAACGUCGACUUUGUUAAGUUCAAUAGUAUCAUGUUUUAGGUCGUGAAUCGUUAGGCAAACAAUAGGGCAUGCAAACUUAGGGAUUGUGAAAUUGGUGAAAUGUCUGAAAUAUGUGUUGAAUGGAUUUGUUUUCUCGCAUUAAAAAUUGUUCUCAUUUGGUCGGGGAAUGCCCUGAAGGAAUUGUAUUUAAUCAUCGGGGAAUGCCCCGAAGUAUCAUGUACUUGAAGAUGGCGCACGAUCAAGGCUCGGAGCAUCGGGUGGAGAAAGAAAUGGAGCGUAGUUUAGGAUUAGUGUAGUUUAGUAUAGCUUUAGUUCAGUAUUUUCUAUUUUGGGAUUGUAUAAUUGGACUGAAUACUAAAUCUUGAUUUCUUUUGUUUGUUUGUUUUGAUUGAUUGUUUUAUGUGUUUUGUGUGGUUUAUACAUUCGUAAUGCCAAAAUUGCCGAUACACUCCACCAAGUGACCGUGGUCAAACCACGGGAUCGAGGGGUGCCUAACACCUUCCCCUUGGUCAACAGAAUUCCUUAGCCGGAAUCUCUAUUUGCGGAUCAGUUUGAGAGUCAAAAAUCAUUUUGAAGAGGAUUUUCCAAUCGUGACUUGGCACACCAGAUUAUGCCAAGUGGCGACUCUAAGUUUUUUUUCUUAAAUAUAAAAAUAAUCCUUUUUCAGAACAAAUCUUCAUGUUGUCACUUUAAUAAUGAAAACUCUUUCGACCCUUAAAAUCGAAUCUUUUUUUGGGGUUAGUAAAAUGGGGUGUGACAGUAAUCCAUUCCUCAAUUAUUUCUCUCUCCUUAAUACAUUUUCUUAACAAUUAAAUAUAAAAUUUCUUAGGGAAGAAGACAUAAAUUCUAAUAAAAAGAAGUAUAUUGUUGUUGCUAAUGGCAUGAAUAUGCUAUAUUUCAAAGAAGAUGACAAUAACGAUAAAGUUCGAUGUAAGAACAAACUUUUAUUACCAUUCAAGACAACUUGAACAAAGCAAAAUUCAAGAUGAAUUUUCUUAGAAAUUUUAACGACAAAAUCUCCAUCUUUAUUUUUUAUCAAGUUUGAUAUUUGUCUAUUUUUAAUAUAAACAACGUAGGUUUAUAUUAACGGAACUUUGCCUCCGUAAAAUUCUCUAUUUCUGAUACCUUUUUCACCAUUUUGUCAUUUUUGCUAUUAAUUUUCUCUGGCCACCUAAUUUAAAUUACUCGGACCAUGUCCAAAAUUUUCAUCUUGAAUUUUGCUUUGUUCAAAUAAUUACCUUCAAUGGUAAUAAAAGUUUGUUCUUGCAUCAAACUUUGUCAUUAUUGUCAUCUUCUCCAGAAUAUAGCAUAUUCAAGCCAUUAGCAACAACAAUAUACUUUCGUUUAUUAGAAUUUGUAUCUUCUGGUCUGUGAAAUUUUAUUUUGAAUUAUUGAGGUUAGAAAAGGUGGCAAGGAGAGAGAAACAAUUGAGAAAAUGGGCUACGAUUUAAUUUCAUGAAAGCAAGAAUUUCAUUAUUAUAAAUCCUACGUUUCUUUUAUAAAAAAAAUAGUCAAAGACCAAACUUGAUAAGUUUUGAAAUAGUUAAAGGAUCAAAUUGAUAAAUGUAUAGUUAAAGGACUAUUUUAAACCUACUCUUAUAGUUAAGGGACUAUUUAUAACAUUUUCUCUUCGAAAUUCUAUUAAAAUUGAGUUAACCAAAAUAGGAUGGGUAAUAGCUUCAUCAUAAAAAUCUAACGAGGAAAAAGGUAAAUUACAUAAAUUUCAUAAGUUAAAGGAGCUAAUAAUAGUUUUUAUCACAUUUUUGUCCAAUUACAUAAAAAUCCAGAAAUAUCAUUUUGUGAUACAUAUUUUAAUUCUUGAUACAUAUCCUGUGUGAUACAUAUUAAACUAAUAAAUGUGUAGAUACAUAUCGUGUGAUACGCAUUAACCUAGUAAAGUGGAGAUAUAUAUUUCUGAUACAUUUAUUUAAGUUAUGUUUUAAAACAUAUUGAUGAUACAUUUAUUUCGAACAGUUGUGAUUGAGGAGAUCAGCCAUAUAUAUCAUGAGCAAAAUGGAAAAUGUGGAAUUUUAUGUAAUUAUUAUAAAGAUUUGAGAUUUUAUGUAAGAAUACCCCUCAAAUUUGAAGGUUUGUGUAAUUUACCUUCUUUUUUUUUUCUGGUUAAAGUAGUAGAUUUAUGUUAAUAACAAAUUAAAUAGCGUCAUUUAGAGAAAAUAAGUUGUUACAGCCAGCGAAAAUAUUACUAGUAGUAGUAGUUUUCCUAGCAAAACAAGGCAAAAUAAAGGAGGGGUAGGCGGAAAGGUAAGUUCUCAAAAACAUGCUCGAUCGCUUCAUUCCUUCCAUAUCCAAAUUGUCAGAAGCAAGAUUACUGGUGAUACCAAUUGGACAAUUUAAUCAUCUUUGACUUCACAUAACACCUCGCAUUGAAGUGGAUGCGUGAGAUACGGACCCGGGUUUAGAGGUUUGUUCUGGCAGGACAUUAAACUCGUCAUUCAAACCAAGCGUGCAUGUAGACACAAGAGAAUGGUGGUUCCUGGAAGAGUAGAGGAUAGCCACAAAGAACCUUCCCUUCUUUCCUAGAUAACGAAGAGUGUAAAGAGCACGUUUAUCGUUAAGAACAUCAUCUUGGUGAACAGUGCUUGUUACGUCAACCUCAGAUAUUAUUAUAUUGUUUCUUCAUCAACUUUCUUGUUGGGGACGGGGACGGGGACGGGGACGGGCUCCGGCUCCAAAUCACGAAUGAUUAGCAAAAAUUGUGACUUGUAAUUCCUUUGGAAUGAGUAGAGGUGAUUUUCUACGAUUACAAAAUAAUCCCACCAAGGUAAUAACAAAAUAUGACUCGGUGUCGAUGAUUUUUCAGUGGUAUAAUAGGUAUACCAAGUCUGAUCCUUGAAGCUGAAAGCAAGAAGAGUACAUAUAGGGUGGUGGUCUCGUUUGAACGAACACGCCCGUCAACAAUCAGAGUGGCAAAUUCAUAGGCAAUUGCAGGUUUCACAAAAAUAUUGGCCGGGUCGAGGUAGUGAAACCCAGAUGACUACUCAUAUUCAGCAUCUCAAAGUGUGGCUUUCCGCCAUGCCAUGGGGAUUAUCAAAAGAGAUCGAUCACAUAAAGCCAGUGAUCAAUGAAGAAGACGAGUGGGUAACACGCACAUGGGAGCUUUCAACUUUGGGAUCGCGUAGUCCAUCCAUUUCCUCUUGGGAAUAUCAUAAACUUUGAUUUCGAGAGGAUAAAAUAAACAACCAUCAUCAUCUAAUUCUUCGUAACCAACAAAGUGUUGGGUUCAAAAUCGAGAGGCGUCAUGCGGAAGCUUAACGUUUGCAAACAAUAGAGAUGAUAAAUUAGAUGACAAAAAACUAUAAUAAAAACAUACUAUUAAUAUGGUUUGGCCAAACGGCCUACAUAUAAAAAACUAAUAUUGAAAAAAAUAUAAAAACUAUUGGGAGAAAAUCUCCACCUAAACGAGACUCUGUAAAGACUACAUUGUGAAUGCUAUUGUGUUAUGAUAUGAGAAGAGGGACCUUAUAUUUAUAGAGUUCCAAAACCUUUCCUCCAAGAAAAAGGUUAGCCAAAUAUGAAAAGUUUUAUAUUUUCUUUUCAGAAAAAAGUAAAAGUAAAUAUAGUUACUUUUAUUUUCCUUCCAAAAAAAAUAAAACUUAAAUUUGGUAAGAAAAUCAGAGCAAAAACCCUAACACAAAGUACAAUUCACGACCACCAGCGGUAUGUCCCAAUUUCAUUUUAAUAAAUGACGCACGUUGCUAGGAUUCCGGUUAAGAAAUUAUCCGAGGGGAAGGUGUUAGGCACCCCUCAAUCCCGUGGUUCCACCACGGUCGCUUGGUGGAGCAUAUCGGCUAAUUUGACACUAUGAAUGUAUAAACCACACAAAACACUCAAUCAAACAAAGAAAACAAAACAAGUCCAAAAAUAUAGUGUCCAGUCUAAUUAUUACAGCCCGAAAUAAAAAAGAACUGAAAAGUAAACCUACACUACUCCUAAACUACGCUCCAAUGUUGUACCUAAUGUCUCGGGCCUUGAUCUCGAGCCUUCUUUGCGUACAUGAUACUUUGGGGCAUUCCCCGGUGAAUAAGUACAAUGUGACCUCGGAGCAUUCCCGACAAAUGAAUACAUUUGAUGAAAUGUAAUAAAAUAGGAGGAAUCAUUCAACAUAGACAUUCACACAUUCAAUGAUAUAGAAUCCUACGAGUUGCCUACCCCGAAACCUAAAAUUUGCCUAUCAAUUUCGGCCUAAAACAUGACACUAUUGGGUUCAACAACAUAAUCAGUGUUCAUUUCAAAAUCAACAAAUCAAUCAAUCUUGCAACAAUCCAAUAUUCAACUUUUAUCGACUUUCAAUUCUGCCCCCAAGUUCAUUUUUUAUCAAUCACACCAUCAAGAUUACUUAAAUUCAUUCAACAUUCCACUAAAAUCACAUCGUCAAGCACAUAAUCAUAACAUCAACAAAAUCAAACAAUCGUAAUCACCGAACACGUAAUUACAACAUCGAUAUACUAAAUUAAAGUAAAAUAAAGAGCAAGACUUGUAGAGAUGGACCUUCCGAUAUUCAGCACUUGAAUGAAAAAAAGAAUCUGCGAUGGCGAACCUCGAAUCGAGACUUCAAUAACGACUAACAACUCCAAUACCAAAUCCCUAGGGCCUACAUGAAGGCGGGACUGGGUACGUUUUUCGAUAGCUUUCCACUGAAACAGUGAUCGAAUGAUAAUUUCCACCAAAAAAGUGACUCAACAUAGUAAUUUUUGUCGGAGCAAUAACCCAAAUCUAAGAAUUCCACCGGAAUCUGGAAUGUGGAAUUAUUUUUUAGAGCUAUUUAGUGUUUUUCUGUGAUUGAUGGUUAGAGAGAAGAGAUUUUCUGUUGGAUUCAAUAUGGGACACCACCUUUGAGAAAAAAACAUGGUUUUGGAAAAGGAGUGACUAUUCAGAUAGUUGUGUCUGUUCAAAAAAGACACAAUAUUUUGAAUGAACAGAUAUGACUCUUUCAAAGGAUACACCUUUUCAUAUGAACCAUUGCCACCUUUGGGAAGGGGCACUUGAUGUCUAUAUAAACCUGCAUUUAUCCACAGGUUUAGGUAUGAAAAAUUUUCUGAAUAUACAAACUCUUCUUGUCUUCAAAACAUUCCGUGUGAUCAAUUAAAUCGUUGAGUGAGUUCGAAGAGAUUCCAAUUGUUUGAUGUACCACUACAGUUGGUUUGUUUGGCCAUUUUAUCCUGGCAGAAAAAUUCCACAACCUCAGGUACUUGAGGGAAAUUAUUUUCUUAAGGACACUCCGUGAAUUCAGAGGACUUGGCCAUUUCUGUUUCAUCUUAAUUUCUGAAAAAAUAAAACACACUUCUUUGAAAUAUUAUUUUGAUCUUGUGUUGAGGGUGUUGUUGUACUUCAUAGUGUUCUUGUUUUAAACUUGAACUAGUGUUNNNNNNNNNNNNNNNNNNNNNNNNNNNNNNNNNNNNNNNNNNNNNNNNNNNNNNNNNNNNNNNNNNNNNNNNNNNNNNNNNNNNNNNNNNNNNNNNNNNNNNNNNNNNNNNNNNNNNNNNNNNNNNNNNNNNNNNNNNNNNNNNNNNNNNNNNNNNNNNNNNNNNNNNNNNNNNNNNNNNNNNNNNNNNNNNNNNNNNNNNNNNNNNNNNNNNNNNNNNNNNNNNNNNNNNNNNNNNNNNNNNNNNNNNNNNNNNNNNNNNNNNNNNNNNNNNNNNNNNNNNNNNNNNNNNNNNNNNNNNNNNNNNNNNNNNNNNNNNNNNNNNNNNNNNNNNNNNNNNNNNNNNNNNNNNNNNNNNNNNNNNNNNNNNNNNNNNNNNNNNNNNNNNNNNNNNNNNNNNNNNNNNNNNNNNNNNNNNNNNNNNNNNNNNNNNNNNNNNNNNNNNNNNNNNNNNNNNNNNNNNNNNNNNNNNNNNNNNNNNNNNNNNNNNNNNNNNNNNNNCGGAGCAUCGGGUGGAGAAAGAAAUGGAGCGUAGUUUAGGAUUAGUGUAGUUUAGUAUAGCUUUAGUUCAGUAUUUUCUAUUUUGGGAUUGUAUAAUUGGACUGAAUACUAAAUCUUGAUUUCUUUUGUUUGUUUGUUUUGAUUGAUUGUUUUAUGUGUUUUGUGUGGUUUAUACAUUCGUAAUGCCAAAAUUGCCGAUACACUCCACCAAGUGACCGUGGUCAAACCACGGGAUCGAGGGGUGCCUAACACCUUCCCCUUGGUCAACAGAAUUCCUUAGCCGGAAUCUCUAUUUGCGGAUCAGUUUGAGAGUCAAAAAUCAUUUUGAAGAGGAUUUUCCAAUCGUGACUUGGCACACCAGAUUAUGCCAAGUGGCGACUCUAAGUUUUUUUUCUUAAAUAUAAAAAUAAUCCUUUUUCAGAACAAAUCUUCAUGUUGUCACUUUAAUAAUGAAAACUCUUUCGACCCUUAAAAUCGAAUCUUUUUUUGGGGUUAGUAAAAUGGGGUGUGACAGUAAUCCAUUCCUCAAUUAUUUCUCUCUCCUUAAUACAUUUUCUUAACAAUUAAAUAUAAAAUUUCUUAGGGAAGAAGACAUAAAUUCUAAUAAAAAGAAGUAUAUUGUUGUUGCUAAUGGCAUGAAUAUGCUAUAUUUCAAAGAAGAUGACAAUAACGAUAAAGUUCGAUGUAAGAACAAACUUUUAUUACCAUUCAAGACAACUUGAACAAAGCAAAAUUCAAGAUGAAUUUUCUUAGAAAUUUUAACGACAAAAUCUCCAUCUUUAUUUUUUAUCAAGUUUGAUAUUUGUCUAUUUUUAAUAUAAACAACGUAGGUUUAUAUUAACGGAACUUUGCCUCCGUAAAAUUCUCUAUUUCUGAUACCUUUUUCACCAUUUUGUCAUUUUUGCUAUUAAUUUUCUCUGGCCACCUAAUUUAAAUUACUCGGACCAUGUCCAAAAUUUUCAUCUUGAAUUUUGCUUUGUUCAAAUAAUUACCUUCAAUGGUAAUAAAAGUUUGUUCUUGCAUCAAACUUUGUCAUUAUUGUCAUCUUCUCCAGAAUAUAGCAUAUUCAAGCCAUUAGCAACAACAAUAUACUUUCGUUUAUUAGAAUUUGUAUCUUCUGGUCUGUGAAAUUUUAUUUUGAAUUAUUGAGGUUAGAAAAGGUGGCAAGGAGAGAGAAACAAUUGAGAAAAUGGGCUACGAUUUAAUUUCAUGAAAGCAAGAAUUUCAUUAUUAUAAAUCCUACGUUUCUUUUAUAAAAAAAAUAGUCAAAGACCAAACUUGAUAAGUUUUGAAAUAGUUAAAGGAUCAAAUUGAUAAAUGUAUAGUUAAAGGACUAUUUUAAACCUACUCUUAUAGUUAAGGGACUAUUUAUAACAUUUUCUCUUCGAAAUUCUAUUAAAAUUGAGUUAACCAAAAUAGGAUGGGUAAUAGCUUCAUCAUAAAAAUCUAACGAGGAAAAAGGUAAAUUACAUAAAUUUCAUAAGUUAAAGGAGCUAAUAAUAGUUUUUAUCACAUUUUUGUCCAAUUACAUAAAAAUCCAGAAAUAUCAUUUUGUGAUACAUAUUUUAAUUCUUGAUACAUAUCCUGUGUGAUACAUAUUAAACUAAUAAAUGUGUAGAUACAUAUCGUGUGAUACGCAUUAACCUAGUAAAGUGGAGAUAUAUAUUUCUGAUACAUUUAUUUAAGUUAUGUUUUAAAACAUAUUGAUGAUACAUUUAUUUCGAACAGUUGUGAUUGAGGAGAUCAGCCAUAUAUAUCAUGAGCAAAAUGGAAAAUGUGGAAUUUUAUGUAAUUAUUAUAAAGAUUUGAGAUUUUAUGUAAGAAUACCCCUCAAAUUUGAAGGUUUGUGUAAUUUACCUUCUUUUUUUUUUCUGGUUAAAGUAGUAGAUUUAUGUUAAUAACAAAUUAAAUAGCGUCAUUUAGAGAAAAUAAGUUGUUACAGCCAGCGAAAAUAUUACUAGUAGUAGUAGUUUUCCUAGCAAAACAAGGCAAAAUAAAGGAGGGGUAGGCGGAAAGGUAAGUUCUCAAAAACAUGCUCGAUCGCUUCAUUCCUUCCAUAUCCAAAUUGUCAGAAGCAAGAUUACUGGUGAUACCAAUUGGACAAUUUAAUCAUCUUUGACUUCACAUAACACCUCGCAUUGAAGUGGAUGCGUGAGAUACGGACCCGGGUUUAGAGGUUUGUUCUGGCAGGACAUUAAACUCGUCAUUCAAACCAAGCGUGCAUGUAGACACAAGAGAAUGGUGGUUCCUGGAAGAGUAGAGGAUAGCCACAAAGAACCUUCCCUUCUUUCCUAGAUAACGAAGAGUGUAAAGAGCACGUUUAUCGUUAAGAACAUCAUCUUGGUGAACAGUGCUUGUUACGUCAACCUCAGAUAUUAUUAUAUUGUUUCUUCAUCAACUUUCUUGUUGGGGACGGGGACGGGGACGGGGACGGGCUCCGGCUCCAAAUCACGAAUGAUUAGCAAAAAUUGUGACUUGUAAUUCCUUUGGAAUGAGUAGAGGUGAUUUUCUACGAUUACAAAAUAAUCCCACCAAGGUAAUAACAAAAUAUGACUCGGUGUCGAUGAUUUUUCAGUGGUAUAAUAGGUAUACCAAGUCUGAUCCUUGAAGCUGAAAGCAAGAAGAGUACAUAUAGGGUGGUGGUCUCGUUUGAACGAACACGCCCGUCAACAAUCAGAGUGGCAAAUUCAUAGGCAAUUGCAGGUUUCACAAAAAUAUUGGCCGGGUCGAGGUAGUGAAACCCAGAUGACUACUCAUAUUCAGCAUCUCAAAGUGUGGCUUUCCGCCAUGCCAUGGGGAUUAUCAAAAGAGAUCGAUCACAUAAAGCCAGUGAUCAAUGAAGAAGACGAGUGGGUAACACGCACAUGGGAGCUUUCAACUUUGGGAUCGCGUAGUCCAUCCAUUUCCUCUUGGGAAUAUCAUAAACUUUGAUUUCGAGAGGAUAAAAUAAACAACCAUCAUCAUCUAAUUCUUCGUAACCAACAAAGUGUUGGGUUCAAAAUCGAGAGGCGUCAUGCGGAAGCUUAACGUUUGCAAACAAUAGAGAUGAUAAAUUAGAUGACAAAAAACUAUAAUAAAAACAUACUAUUAAUAUGGUUUGGCCAAACGGCCUACAUAUAAAAAACUAAUAUUGAAAAAAAUAUAAAAACUAUUGGGAGAAAAUCUCCACCUAAACGAGACUCUGUAAAGACUACAUUGUGAAUGCUAUUGUGUUAUGAUAUGAGAAGAGGGACCUUAUAUUUAUAGAGUUCCAAAACCUUUCCUCCAAGAAAAAGGUUAGCCAAAUAUGAAAAGUUUUAUAUUUUCUUUUCAGAAAAAAGUAAAAGUAAAUAUAGUUACUUUUAUUUUCCUUCCAAAAAAAAUAAAACUUAAAUUUGGUAAGAAAAUCAGAGCAAAAACCCUAACACAAAGUACAAUUCACGACCACCAGCGGUAUGUCCCAAUUUCAUUUUAAUAAAUGACGCACGUUGCUAGGAUUCCGGUUAAGAAAUUAUCCGAGGGGAAGGUGUUAGGCACCCCUCAAUCCCGUGGUUCCACCACGGUCGCUUGGUGGAGCAUAUCGGCUAAUUUGACACUAUGAAUGUAUAAACCACACAAAACACUCAAUCAAACAAAGAAAACAAAACAAGUCCAAAAAUAUAGUGUCCAGUCUAAUUAUUACAGCCCGAAAUAAAAAAGAACUGAAAAGUAAACCUACACUACUCCUAAACUACGCUCCAAUGUUGUACCUAAUGUCUCGGGCCUUGAUCUCGAGCCUUCUUUGCGUACAUGAUACUUUGGGGCAUUCCCCGGUGAAUAAGUACAAUGUGACCUCGGAGCAUUCCCGACAAAUGAAUACAUUUGAUGAAAUGUAAUAAAAUAGGAGGAAUCAUUCAACAUAGACAUUCACACAUUCAAUGAUAUAGAAUCCUACGAGUUGCCUACCCCGAAACCUAAAAUUUGCCUAUCAAUUUCGGCCUAAAACAUGACACUAUUGGGUUCAACAACAUAAUCAGUGUUCAUUUCAAAAUCAACAAAUCAAUCAAUCUUGCAACAAUCCAAUAUUCAACUUUUAUCGACUUUCAAUUCUGCCCCCAAGUUCAUUUUUUAUCAAUCACACCAUCAAGAUUACUUAAAUUCAUUCAACAUUCCACUAAAAUCACAUCGUCAAGCACAUAAUCAUAACAUCAACAAAAUCAAACAAUCGUAAUCACCGAACACGUAAUUACAACAUCGAUAUACUAAAUUAAAGUAAAAUAAAGAGCAAGACUUGUAGAGAUGGACCUUCCGAUAUUCAGCACUUGAAUGAAAAAAAGAAUCUGCGAUGGCGAACCUCGAAUCGAGACUUCAAUAACGACUAACAACUCCAAUACCAAAUCCCUAGGGCCUACAUGAAGGCGGGACUGGGUACGUUUUUCGAUAGCUUUCCACUGAAACAGUGAUCGAAUGAUAAUUUCCACCAAAAAAGUGACUCAACAUAGUAAUUUUUGUCGGAGCAAUAACCCAAAUCUAAGAAUUCCACCGGAAUCUGGAAUGUGGAAUUAUUUUUUAGAGCUAUUUAGUGUUUUUCUGUGAUUGAUGGUUAGAGAGAAGAGAUUUUCUGUUGGAUUCAAUAUGGGACACCACCUUUGAGAAAAAAACAUGGUUUUGGAAAAGGAGUGACUAUUCAGAUAGUUGUGUCUGUUCAAAAAAGACACAAUAUUUUGAAUGAACAGAUAUGACUCUUUCAAAGGAUACACCUUUUCAUAUGAACCAUUGCCACCUUUGGGAAGGGGCACUUGAUGUCUAUAUAAACCUGCAUUUAUCCACAGGUUUAGGUAUGAAAAAUUUUCUGAAUAUACAAACUCUUCUUGUCUUCAAAACAUUCCGUGUGAUCAAUUAAAUCGUUGAGUGAGUUCGAAGAGAUUCCAAUUGUUUGAUGUACCACUACAGUUGGUUUGUUUGGCCAUUUUAUCCUGGCAGAAAAAUUCCACAACCUCAGGUACUUGAGGGAAAUUAUUUUCUUAAGGACACUCCGUGAAUUCAGAGGACUUGGCCAUUUCUGUUUCAUCUUAAUUUCUGAAAAAAUAAAACACACUUCUUUGAAAUAUUAUUUUGAUCUUGUGUUGAGGGUGUUGUUGUACUUCAUAGUGUUCUUGUUUUAAACUUGAACUAGUGUUGAAGUAGUGUUGUGAAAAUACAGAUUAUGUGUACCCGAUAAACUACAAUCUUAACGAAAUAAUUUUGAAAAAAGAAAGAAAAAAAUUUCUUUUUUUGCUUGUUUGGUGAAAUUUUGUUUUCACUAAAGUUUUAUUUUUUCAGAAUCUAUAUUACUUAUUUUUGAAUAUUAAAGCUUUACGUUUUCUACUCCGUUUGAACUUAACUAGUGAUUCCAAGACAUAAAAUCUUCAUCACAAGUUAAAGAUCACUCGGUUGACGAUUGAAAGUCAUACAAACUUCAUCGUUAGCUAGAAACAAGAAGAAGAGUUUAAAGUUGCUUAACUUUAUAAGUAGUAUUCUGAAAAUACUAAAUUUUAUUGUCUUGUGGUGACAGAAAAAAUGAUUAAUGAAAGUCAAUGCAAGAUGCGGCUACGACUAUGGGGGCAACUAGUAUUGCCUCAACAAGUCGAGCAAAUGCUUCGCAACCAACGGCACCUGCGGAGAAGCCCAAAAAAUUUGCGGGCAUUGACUUUAAGCGAUGGUAGCAGAAGACGUUCUUCUACCUCAUAACACUAUGUCUUCAAAGGUUCACUAGUGAGGAUGCUCCUGAGGUGCCCGAGGAAACCUCGGACAAAGAGCGUUUCAUAAUUGUAGAGGCUUGGAAACACUCAGACUUCCAUUGCAGGAAUUAUAUUUUGAGUGGUCUCCAAGACGACCUCUACAAUGUUUACAGUGGAACUAAGACGUCGAAGAAAUUGUGGGGGGCACUAGAACGAAAAUAUAAGAUAGAGGAUGCGGGAAUUAAGAAGUUCUUUGUUGUAAGUUUCCUAGACUUUAAAAUGAUAGAUAGCAAAUCGGUUGUCUCUCAAGUGCAGGAAUUGUAAGUAAUCACCCAUGAUCUCCUAGCGGAAGGUAUAUCUUUGAAAAAUACCUUAGUUGAACGCAUUGAAAAUGUUCUAAGUACUCACAUAAACUAUUUUGUAGGUUUGAUUGUGGAUGAUGCAUUUCAAGUAGCAGCAAUAAUUGAGAAGCUACCACCUAUGUGGAAAGACUUCAAAAACUAGUUGAAGCACAAACACAAGGAGAUGACUGUCGAAGAUCUUAUUGUCCGACUGCAUAUUAAAGAGGAUAAUAAAGCUGCCGAGAGAAGGUCAAACGGGAAUUCUACAAUUAAUAGAGCACAUAUUGUAGAAGAUGACCAAAAUAAUUCUAAGAAAAGGAAGAAAGUUGAACAAGGAAGUAAUCAACCCAAGAAGAAGUUCAAGGGAAAGUGCUUCAACUGUGGCAAGAUUGGCCAUAAUUCCACGGAUUAUCGUGUCUCUAAGAAAGGCAAGAAAAAGGACCAAACAAAUAUGAUUGAGUCCAACAAAGAAUGUGAUGAUCUGUGUGCUAUGUUUUCAAAAUGUAACUUGGUGGGGAAUCCUCGCGAAUGGUGGAUGGAUUCUUGUGCCAUCCACCAUGUUUGUGCCAAUAAAGAGUUGUUUUCGAUAUUCGCUCCAGCUCAAGUAGAAGAAAUGAUUUACCUGGCUAACUCCGCUACGGCUAAGGUAGAAGGAACAGGAAAAGUGGGCUUGAAAAUGACUUCAGAAAAGGUCUUGACACUUAACAAUGUCUUGUACGUUCCAGAAUUACGUAGGAACUUGAUUUCUAUUUCACUUCUAGACAAGAAUGGAUUCAAAUGUGUAACCGUUUCUGGAAAAAUUGUAAUUAGCAAAGAAGAAGUGUAUGUAGGAAAAGGCUAUCUCAUCGAGGGCCUUUAUAAGAUGAAUGUAAUGAAUGUUGAAAUAAAUAAAAGUUCAAAUUCUUAUUACUUGCUUGAGUCUUAUAAUUUGUGGCAUGAACGUUUAGGCCAUGUUGAUUACAAAACGUUAUGAAAACUGAUUAACUUAGAAGUUUUGUAAAACUUUGAGUGCAAAAUAAAAAAUUAAAGUGUCAAACGUGUGUGGAAUCAAAGUAUGCAAAACAUCAUUAUAAGUCCGUUGAAAGGAAUUCUAAUUCCUUAGACUUAAUACACACUGACAUUUGUGAUAUGAAGUCAACACCAUCACAUGGUGGAAAAAAGUAUUUCAUAACUUUUAUUGACGAUUGCACUAGAUAUUGUUAUGUCUACUUGCUAAAUAGUAAGGAUGAAACAAUAGAUGCAUUUAGGCAAUACAAAACUGAAGUAGAAAAUCAGUUAGAGAAAAAUAUAAAAAUGAUAAGAAGCAAUAGGGGGGAGAAUAUGAAUCUCCCUUCGCCGAAAUAUGUGUAGAGAAUGGAAUUGUCCAUCAAACUAUGGCUCCUUAUUCACCUCAAUCUCACGAAAUUGCAGAAAGAAAUAAUCGAACUUUGAAGAAAAUGAUGAAUGUCUUGCUUAUAAGUUUCGAUUUACCGCAAAACUUAUUGGGGAGGCUAUCCUUACAGCCAAUCAUAUACUCAAUAGAGUUCCCCAUAGUAAGACAAUCGAUUCCUUAAUAAAAAUGGAAAGGAAGGAAACCCAACUUGAAAUAUUUCAAAGUAUAGGGGUUUCUAGCAAAGGUCCAAGUUUCUAUGCCUAAGAGGGUUAAGAUAGGACCUAAGACUAUGGACUGCGUGUUCAUAGGAUAUGUUAAAAGCAGUAAAACAUGUCAAUUUUUGGUUCAUAAAUUCGAACAUCCAGAUAUAAAUAAAAAUACGGUAAUUGAAUCAGAUAAUGCAGAAUUCUUUGAAAACAUUUCUCCGUAUAAAACUAGACAUGAACAGUCUAAAUGACCUCAAGAAGAACCAAGUAAGAAUGUACAUAAUGAAGAGAAUCCAAGACAUAGUACACGUCAAAGGACUUCUACUACAUUUGGAUCAGAUUUUGUAACACUUCUCUUAGAAAAUGAGCCUCAAACAUUUAAAGAAGUGAUGUCGUCGUUAGACUCAUCCUUUUGGAAAGAGGCAGUCAAUAGUGAAAUUAAUUAAAUCUUAAGCAACCAUACGUGGAAAUUGGUUGAUCUUCCUUCAUGAAAUAAACCUUUAGGUUCUAAAUGAAUCUUCAAAAGGAAAAUGAAAGAGGAUGGUACUAUUGACAAAUACAAAGAAAGACUUAUAGUAAAAGGAUUCAAUCAAAAAGAAGGCCUUGAUUACUUUGAUACAUACUCGCCAGUAAUAAGGAUAACAUCGAUUUGAAUGUUAAUUGCCUUGGAGGAAAUAUAUGGUCUUAAAAUCCAUCAAAUAGAUGUGAAAACCACAUUCCUAAAUGGAAAAUUAAAGGAAGAAAUUUACAUGGAACAACCUGAGGGUUCUGUGGUUCCAGAAAUGGAGAAUAAUGUGUGUAAACUUAUUAAGUCGUUAUAUGGACUAAAGCAAGCACCUAAACAAUGGCAUGCGAAGUUUGACCAAACCAUGUUGGCAAACGGGUUCAAGAUAGAUGAAUAUGAUAAAUGUGUUUACAAUAAAGACACUCCGAAUUACCAAGUCAUUGUUUGUUUAUAUAUGGAUGAUAUGUUGAUCAUCAGUAGAGACAUUUCUGACAUAAAUGCAAUGAAAUGAAUGCUCGAGAUUAAGUUUGAUAUGAAAGACCUUGGAGUUGCAGAUGUGAUCUUAGGAAUAAGAAUCCAUAGAACUCCAUAAGGGUUGGCAUUAUCACAGUCUCAUUAUAUCAAAAGUGUACUUGAAAAAUUCAAGUAUAUGAAAUUCGGUAUUGCCAAGACUCUAUUGGAUGUGAGCUUUGCACUUCGAAAGAAUGAAGGUGAAAGUGACUCACAAUUGGAGUAUGCAAGAGUAUUGGGAUGUUUAAUGUAUAUAAUGAAUUAUACACGACCAGACAUAGCAUGCGCUAUUAGUAACUUUAGUCGGUACACAAGUAAUUCCAACAAAACUCAUUGGAUGGCAAUGAAAAGAGUUUUGGGGUAUUUAAAAUACACUCAAGACUAUGUCUUACAUUAUAAUAAAUAUCCUAUAGUGAUACAAAUUGGAUCACCGGAUCGAACGAAGUAAAAUCGAAAAGUGGAUAUGUAUUUACUAUCGGUGGAGGAGCAGUCUCAUGGAAAUCAUACAAACAGACUUGUAUUGCUCGCUCUACAAUGGAAUCUGAAUUUAUCCCAUUGGAUAAGUCGGUGAAGAAGCAGAAUGACUCCGAAAUUUCUUGAAAGAUAUUCCUUAUUAUCCCAAACCAGUGGCACCAAUAUGUAUACACUGUGAUAGCCAAGUGGAAAUAGGUAGGGCAGGGAGCAUGAUGUACAAUAAUAAAUCUCAUCACAUAAAACGGAGACAUAAUACCAUUAAAGAACUUCUCUCUAGUGGAAUUAUCACUGUUGACUAUGUUAAGUCAAAGAAUAAUGUAUCGGAUCUACUUACAAAAGGCCUAUCUAGAGAAGGAGUGGAAAGGACAUCCAGGGGAAUGGGUUUAAGGCCUAGGACAAGUCAGUAUGGCGGUAACUCUACCUAGCAGACUGGAGAUCCUAAGAGCUAAGUUCAAGGAGAUCAAACAAAGUUGUGUCUAACAGGUUCAACAUUGUCAAUUACCCAACCCAUUCUCAAGAUGUAGACAAUAUGUAGUAAACAAGGAUAAGACUUAAGGUGAAAAGUCUUUUAAUGAUUAUCUAAAUUUGACAGAUUUGACCAAAUAGUUUAAUCUAUGGGGUUGAAAGUUUAGAAAUCACCUAUAUGAGGGCGAAGUAGAAGUCGCUUCAAGGAGAAUGUUAGUAAAGGCCUAUUCUCUAAGAUCUCAUGAAUUCGGGACGUGUUCAUGGCUGAAAAGAACAAAACCGUGAGAACCAUACACGAUAAAAGGCUGGUUGUGUGACAUGUGUUGUGUAGGUGUACAUUAAAGCUCGACGGUUCAAAGAUAUCAAAUCUACCUAUUGACUGAGUGCAUCCGAUGCAUGUUUACUACGAAAUGUUCAAAGGGAAACCCGCUUAUCCAGAUGCAAUCAGUCUUAGCUUAAUGAUCACAUACCUGUCCGUAAAAUUUUAUGAAAAAAUAGUUAUUCCCCAUUCAUGUGGGGGAUUGUUGGGUAAUAUGUAUGAAAAAGGUGUGAAUGAAAAAUGAAGGGACACAACCUUUGAGGAAAAGACAUAUUAUUUGGGAAAAGGAGUGACUAUUGAGAUAGUUGUGUUUGUUCAGAAAAAGACACAAUAUUUUGAAUGAACAGAUAUAACUCUUUCAAAGGAUACACCUUUUCAGAUGAACCAUUGCCACCUUUGGAAAGGGGUACUUGAUGGCUAUAUAAACCUGCAUUUAUCCAUAAGUUUAGGUAUGAAAAAUUUUCUGAAUAUACAAACUCUUCUUGUCUGCAAAACAUUCCGUGUGAACAAUUAAAUCGUUGAGUGAGUUCGAAGAGAUUUCAAUUGUUUGAGGUACCGCUACAGUUGGUUUGUUUGGUCAUUUUAUCCUGGGAGAAAAAUUCCACAACCUCAGGUACUUGAGGAAAAUUAUUUUCUUAAGGACACUCCGUGAAUUCGGAGGACUUGGCCAUUUCUGUUUCAUCUUAAUUUUUUGAAAAAAUAAAACACACUUCUUUGAAAGAUUAUUUUGAUCUUGUGUUGAGGGUGUUGUUGUACUUCAUAGUGUUCUUGUUUUAAAUUUAAAUUAGUGUUGAAAUAGUGUUGCGAAAAUACAGAUUGUGUGUACCCGAUAAACUACAUUUUCGAUGAGAAUCUCGCCAGAAAAGAUGCUUAGCCUUUUCCCAAUCUCUCACUGUGUUUCCCUUCCUCUACUGUUUUUCCUCUCUCAUUUGUCUGCUGUUUAAUCUUUCCCUUUCACUUCAUUUUUACUCUAUGUGUAUGUGCUCCAAUGGGGUGUGUGUGUUUCGAUGUAUUGUUGCCGUCUUCCCCUUAUAUUUUAUGAAUGUGUAUGAGUAAUGGAAUGGAAAAUUCCCCUCUUCUCGAUUCUCUACUGUGUGUGUUAAUAUCAUGUGUGGAUUUAAUGGCAUUUGUGUGUAGGUGUGAGCUUUUUUUAGGGUGAACGUGCUGUGUGUGUAUGGCGUACUGUAUAUGUAGCUGUGUAUGGGAAUUAUAUGUGUUGUUCUUCUGGAGAAAAAGAUACUUCUGUGGUGUGAGUGUAUAUACGAGAAUUGUGUGUGUGCUGUGAGUGAAAUUGUGAAGGUGUGAGAUCUGUUCUCUUUGUAUUGUAUUAGGUGUGUAUAUAUUGAUGGCUAUCUACGUCUAUGUAUAAGCUUCUGUGAGUGGGAAAAAAUGUCUAUUCUCUGGAAGGUUCCCCUCUAUACGUGCCUUCUCUAAGACGUGAUAAAGGGAUAAAGGGUAGGGGGUAGGGGUGGUGAGGUGGAUGUAGUGGUGUGAGGUGUCAAAAUUUAGGUAGGAUAAGGGAAUUUUAGGGGUCAGAGAUUUAAUUUUUUAGGAUUUAUUAUAUUUGUUUUCUUGUGAGGAAAGUGUGGAAUGGAUGAGGGUACGUGGUAAGGUGAGUUAAAAAUGAAUAAAAUUGAAUUUCGGGAGAAGUAAAAUUACAUGUCUACAAUAAUUAUUGUUAUUGUUAUUUUAGAUUUUAAUUUAACGUUUCUCUUUUUUUUUAAUGUGUAUUUUUUUCGCUGUAAAAAUAGAUUUUCAUCAUUCUGUUGUUGAUUGAAAAUACUAUUUCAACUAGCUCGGGAGACUAUUUUAACCUCAUUGCUUCAAAAAAAUAGAUUUUCACCAUAUAUAUUGUUGUUGGUUGACAGACUAUUUCAGCCUCAUAACUCCCCCAAUCAAUAGCACUACUGAUCAUUGCAUCUAUUAUUUUUACAUAUCUUUUGUAUAAAAUAAUACAAAGAUAUGGCUGGGGAGAUCAAGGGGCCAACCCCGAAUCGUGGCAUCGAAUUAUUGGUUAGUCGUUGAGGUGAUUUUAUCUUGUUGAUAAUAAAUAAAAAAAAAAGAUUAAAAAUGCCAAUAUUUUUUUAUUUUAUGACAAGCAAAAACUUCAUAAUUUGUUUGAACAUGGAAAAGUAAAUAUUUGUCAUAGUAGUAAAUUAACAUAAUGUUUCGAACCCACCAGGUCUGCAUAAAAUUUACUAUUCGAAUAUAAUUAAUAUCAAUUAAAAACUUCAAAAAUAAUCUGUUGUCAUAAAUAUCAAUAUUAUAUUAGUAUUCGAAUAUAACGAAACACAGAUUUUCAAUUGACGGUUACAAUCUUUUUUCAUCAUAUCCAGUGUUAAAUUGAUGAUAGUGCAUGUUCAAUUCGAAAUGUUAAGUGACUUAUUAAUCUCAAUUAGUUCAUUACAAAUGAAAAUAGGCAAGAAUAUGCCCAAUAAUAUGACUGCAAAAUGCACCUGUAAUGCACAAGAUACACCUGCGACGCACAAAAUGCACGUGAGACUCCUCAUAAGAUCAAAUUGUUAUAACUUUGUAAUAAUUUAAAUUUUAAUUGAUAUAAUUAGUGAAAUCUUGAAUAGUGAAUAAAGCAUGCACAAAAAGAACUCAACCUUUUUCUCUACUUUCCCAACUAUUCCCAUGCACCUUUGUAUAUUCAGUUAAAGUAGUUAACAUUUAAUUGUUAAGGUAAUUAGGAUUAGAGGUGAUUAAGAAUGGUUUAUCAGUAUAAAAGAAAGGGAAUUAUCUAAAGUUGUUCACAUAUCAUUUUACAUUUUAUAAGUAUAAAAAGGAAGGCAAUUAUCUAAAAGGUUCCCAUUUUGAUUUGUUACUCUUCUUACCACCAACUCUUUUUCAGUAUAAAAGGAAUGUUAUACUAGUUGUUCACAUAUCAUUCUAUAAUAAACAAUUUUACUCAUAUACUUCUCUAUACAACAUCAACUCACAAACACACAACAACUCAAGUAAGUACCUUAACCUGAUUAUAGAUUGUUGAUUAAUUAUUCUCCCUUGUUAAUUUGUUUAUGCCUAUCAAAACAAACAAUUUCAUGAAUUCAGAAAAUACUGAUAUAUUAUCAAUUAAUAACUGAAUGAUCAAAAGAUCAAAAGAAGUGUGAUAGAGAGAAGUAUAGGCGUAAAAUCGUUUAUUAUAAAAUGAUAUGUGAACAACUAGUAUAGCGUUCCUUUUAUACUGAAAAAGAGUUGGUGGUAAGAAGAGUAACAAAUCAAAAUGGGAAUCAACAUUACUCACUUUUCUCAUUAUUACAUAUAGAGUUUAUACAAAUUAUUACUGAUCAAUUAAAAAUGAAAUAAAAAAGAGAGGCUCAAUUUGACAGUCGUUGAACACUAACUCUCAAAUCCUUGACAAUUUCUCAUCUCGUCUAAACUCAACAACUUUCGAGUGGAACCUGUCAAACACAAAUAAGUGCACAAAACAAACUAACGAAAUCUCAAAAAACUUAGGCAUCCCACAAUCACCCAUUGACGUCUCCAAAAUCAUGAGGAUCUCAAGGAUCCUAGGCAAGGCUCCCAUCAAGGGGAUUAUGAAAUACAAUAAGAUAGUAGCUAGAUGUUUGUGAAUAGUAAAUAAUUUAAUAAAUAUAGAUACAUUACGUAAAAAAAAUUAUAUUUACGGAAGAUACAUACCCCCAAAAAAAGAAAUUACACGCACAUAUUUUAUAUUAAUAAUCGCGCGAAAUGCGAUAUAUUUUAUUAGUUUUUACUAUUAUACAAAAUCACACAUUUUCAUACAAACUAAUAUGUUACACACAUAUUUUAUUAGUUUUUAUUACACAUAUUUUACGCACAUUGGCCAGUAUACCCAUUAUCCCAUCCCGUGACAUCGUCUUAGGAAGCCUGCAAAAAAAAAAACAAAAAGAAAAAAAAAAAGAAUGGUGAUUGCAUUAUUUAGAAAGGAGCAAGAUGAAAUUAGUAGUAGUAGUAAAUACUACUAACCGAUAGUUCGAUUCCCUUAUCCGGAUUGGCCUCACGAUGUCCCCAUUUGUAUCUUUGUAUAGUUUUAUACAGAAGAUAUGAGAAAAUAGCAGCUACAAUGAUUAGUAGCGCUACUGAUUGAGGAGUUUUAAGGUUAAAAAAGUCAUUCGAGUUGGCUGACAUAGUAUUGUCAAUCAAUAACAGAAUGACUAAAAUUUAUUUUUAAAGCAAAAAUAAAAAAAUUCACAUUAGAAAAACCAGAAGAGAAACAUUAAAUUAAAAUCUAAAAUAAUAAUAAAUAUAAUUAUAGUACCGUAUACCUUCAUUUGUAGUUUAUAUACGGUGUCCAUUUUCCAACGUAAUAGUUAAAACGUGUUAGAACUUUCUCAAUUUUAAUAUCAACAUGUCAGAUUUAUCUACAUUGCCCUUAAGUUGUUUCUACGUACAUGUGUGUUAUUCCACAGUAAAACAUAUAGGCUUUAAUGACAUAAACAUGUCAUAUUUGACCUCUACGUGUGUGGUUUCACGUGCAUUUUGUGCAUUAUAGGUGCAUCUUGUGCACUAUACGUGCAUCAAGCAGUUGUAUUCUUUGGCAUAUUCUCAGCUGUUUUCAUUUGUACUGAACUAAUUGCCAUUGCAAAUUAAAAAACUUUUGUAAGUUCUAUAAGUUUUGAUGAAAUUUAUAUUCAGAUUGUUACAAUAAAGAAAAAAAAUUUCUUUUCAAAUUCGCAAAUCACAACUUCUGGCAAUAUUAGAAUAAUACACCAACAAAUUUAAUUUAAAAGAAAAAAUAAAUUGUACCUUUGUGCGAGCAUGUUUUCGUGUAAAGAGAGCCAACACAUCUACUCUGCGCACCUAGGAAUAUUUGAUACCAACAAAGUGCAAAAAUUGUUGCUGCUGGUUUACCAAAAAACAUUGUUUCUUUACGCCCAUUGUUAAUAUAAUUUCAUUUCUUCACUUUGUAUAUAAAAUGCACCUUAUUAUAUACUUUCUUGUAUGCAUUACUCAAGAAAUAGCAUUCUAUUAUUCUAUUUUCUUGAGUGUACAUUUUUGCAACUCACUUUAAAAAAGAAAAAUGUACGUGUAUAUUCCUGAAGAGUACGUUAUUCAACGUUGACUCGAGAAAAAAACUGCUUCUACUUCUGCUAUUGGUACGACUAAUAAACUCGGUACGGAAAAGGGCAGGAAGGUGUUUCGUUCGAAUAAAAAAGAAGGGAAAAUAGUCAAACUGUUAUAAAUGUAUUUACAUUAUAGUGAAUGUCUAUCAAGAUCUAUUAAGAUCUACUUUGAUAUUUAUUAGGAUUUGAAGAAUUCGUCUUUUACUCAGACUAGGAGUAAAUUUUUCUAUAAAUAGAGAGGUUCUGUUCAUUGUAUUUACAAUCUUAUGAUCACUCAUCCCUCAAGAGAAGAAAUAACAAUUACUCUCUCUAUUCUCUCUACUCUUCUUCUUUAUUCUUUCUUGUUUUAAUAACAUGUUAUCAGCACGAGACUCUGACAAACAAGGUGAGAUUAUAAAUCUGAACGAUUUCAAGGUUAGUAAUUCCAUAUGUUAUCUUUCUUUAGCUACUACUAAUAUAAUUAUUAUUGGAUUUGAGAAAAAAAUAAUUGGUUUGGAACCAUUUAUAUUUUAAAUUUAUUCCUCAAGAACAAUAUUAUCAAAAAGGAUGAUAAUAUGUUGGGUUCAAGUCCCAUCGAUUCGUCCCUAAGANNNNNNNNNNNNNNNNNNNNNNNNNNNNNNNNNNNNNNNNNNNNNNNNNNNNNNNNNNNNNNNNNNNNNNNNNNNNNNNNNNNNNNNNNNNNNNNNNNNNNNNNNNNNNNNNNNNNNNNNNNNNNNNNNNNNNNNNNNNNNNNNNNNNNNNNNNNNNNNNNNNNNNNNNNNNNNNNNNNNNNNNNNNNNNNNNNNNNNNNNNNNNNNNNNNNNNNNNNNNNNNNNNNNNNNNNNNNNNNNNNNNNNNNNNNNNNNNNNNNNNNNNNNNNNNNNNNNNNNNNNNNNNNNNNNNNNNNNNNNNNNNNNNNNNNNNNNNNNNNNNNNNNNNNNNNNNNNNNNNNNNNNNNNNNNNNNNNNNNNNNNNNNNNNNNNNNNNNNNNNNNNNNNNNNNNNNNNNNNNNNNNNNNNNNNNNNNNNNNNNNNNNNNNNNNNNNNNNNNNNNNNNNNNNNNNNNNNNNNNNNNNNNNNNNNNNNNNNNNNNNNNNNNNNNNNNNNNNNNNNNNNNNNNNNNNNNNNNNNNNNNGUAAACUUGGAGUUUACUAGAAUAAAAGUUCAUAAAUUGAUAUGAACGAUUGUGACAUCUCGAAGAUGUGCAUGUAUUGAAGAACUAGAAGGUUCUUCAAGAAUUGUUUAUGUCGUUGUUCUAAUGAUAAGUUAGUUGAACCAACUAAUAUUAGGAUUGAAUCCCUUCAAAUCUGAAAAUUAUAAAAGGUGAAUAAGGGCCCGUUCAUCUAUCGUGUGAUUGUUGAAAAGAUGCAUCAAUAAGAUCACAUUUACAUUGAUUGUCAACCUGCAGUUUGACAUUCAUAAAGUUGCUUGCUCAAUAAAAUUGAGUUAAGAAUAUAAUUUUCAGAUUGUGCAAUCAAAAAAGUUAUAUUGAUGAUGAUGGUUUCGGAUUGAAUGCCUUCGAUAAAUAGCUAAAUCAUUAUUAAUGAGAACAAAACUUCAUGUAUUAGUCUAAAAUAUGAUAUAUUGCAAUAGCAUUUGUAUGCAUUAGACCAAUAAAUUAUGAUUAUUUCUUCUCUCUCAAUUGGUUCAAGGUCGGGAAUCAAUUAAUUCAUCUAAUAAUUUUAAUGUGCGGUAUUCGAUUAAUAAAUAUACCAUAAUACACAAAUAUGGAUUCCUCAAAGAAGUAGAGAAUGUAUGUUAGUUUUUCUAACAUAGGGGGAGAUUAUAAGUGCUAUGAAAUGUGUUAGGAAUUAUCAUCAUAUCCUCAUCCAAAAGAUAAUUCAAGUCAAAUGCUGAAAGCAUCUCAUAUUAAGCGCAAGUGCUCUUAUUUUGUGUUCCUAAAGGACAAAGUCUAUGCAUGCGUGAAGCGUGGUAGACUGAUCGGUUCCAAAUGAAAUAGUCCUUGAAAAAUAAGNNNNNNNNNNNNNNNNNNNNNNNNNNNNNNNNNNNNNNNNNNNNNNNNNNNNNNNNNNNNNNNNNNNNNNNNNNNNNNNNNNNNNNNNNNNNNNNNNNNNNNNNNNNNNNNNNNNNNNNNNNNNNNNNNNNNNNNNNNNNNNNNNNNNNNNNNNNNNNNNNNNNNNNNNNNNNNNNNNNNNNNNNNNNNNNNNNNNNNNNNNNNNNNNNNNNNNNNNNNNNNNNNNNNNNNNNNNNNNNNNNNNNNNNNNNNNNNNNNNNNNNNNNNNNNNNNNNNNNNNNNNNNNNNNNNNNNNNNNNNNNNNNNNNNNNNNNNNNNNNNNNNNNNNNNNNNNNNNNNNNNNNNNNNNNNNNNNNNNNNNNNNNNNNNNNNNNNNNNNNNNNNNNNNNNNNNNNNNNNNNNNNNNNNNNNNNNNNNNNNNNNNNNNNNNNNNNNNNNNNNNNNNNNNNNNNNNNNNNNNNNNNNNNNNNNNNNNNNNNNNNNNNNNNNNNNNNNNNNNNNNNNNNNNNNNNNNNNNNNNNNNNNNNNNNNNNNNNNNNNNNNNNNNNCGAUCUUAUUGGCCAUGCUGAUGUUGGGUACUUAUCUGACCCGCAUAAAGUUCGGUCUCAAAUAGGCUAUAUGUUCAUAUGUGGUGGUACUGUCAUAUCUUGAAGAUAUACAAAGCAGUCUAUCGUAGCCACUUCAUCGAAUCAUGCUGAGAUAAUAACUAUUCAUGAAGCAAGCCGAGAAUGUGUAUGGUUGAGGGCUAUGAUACAUCUCAUUCGAGAAAAAUGUGGUGUGAAAUAUGACAAUUUACCCACAAUUUUAUACAGAGAUAAUUCAGCAUACAUCGCACAUCUUAAGGGAGGAUUCAUAAAUGGAGAUAGAACGAAGCACAUUUUACCAAAGUUUUUCUACAUACAUGAGCUACAAAAGAAUGAUGAUAUUAACGUGCAACAGAUUCGUUCAACUGACAAUAUGACUGAUUUAUUCACCAAAUCUUCUCCAAUUGCAACUUUCAAGAAGAUGCUGCACAAGAUUGGGAUGCAAAAGUUCAAGGAUGUUCUUAUUAAGGGGAGCAAAUACGCGAUGUACUCUUUUUUUCUUUCAAGGUUUUGUCCCACCGAGUUUUUCUUGUAAGAUUUUUAAUGAGCCAGCCUAUAUGUAUAUUGUUAGAGAUGUGUAAUCUUUUUCCUUCACUAGAUUUUUUUUUCCACUGUAUUUUUUCUAGGAAGGUUUUAACGUGGCACAUUAUCUACCAAUUAGACAUUCAAGGGGGAGUGUUAUAAAUGUAUUUAAAUUAUAGUGGAUGUCUAUCAAGAUCUAUCAAGAUCUACUUUGAUAUCUAUUAGGAUUUGAAGCAUCCGUCUUUUACUCAAACUAGGAGUAAAUUUUCCCUAUAAAUAGAGGAAUUUUGUUCAUUGUAUUUACAAUCUUAUGAUCUCUCAUCCCUCAAGAGAAGAAAUAACAAUUACUCUCUCUAUUCUCUCUACUCUUCUUCUUUAUUCUUUCUUGUUUUAUAACACAAACAAUCCUCUUUUAUGGUAGAGGAUAAUAAUAAUAAUAGGAGUUAUAUUUGCAAAACAAGUUCUGUUUUUGGGGAGAAUGAUGUUUUCACAUACUUUUCUACUUAAUCUUAGUUAAUAUUAAUUGCUAGUACUAAGUAGGUAAUUAUUAGUUGUUGAAUUUUUAGAGAAAGAUUUAAGGCUAGUAGCUAUGACUUGUAAUUCCAUGUGUAUAGGACUAGUUUUACUUCUUAAUCCUGGUAAGAAAACUAACUCUUAUUUAUGUGAGAUAAAUAUUUCGUGACUACACUCGUAGUUUCUUGUUCUUCAAUCUGUUAACAAUUAUCAUAUUAUUUUGUUGUAAUGUUGUUUCAUUUCAAAAUGUUUUGUCAUGCUUUACUAGUAUUUUAUUGUGGCUUCUUCACUUUCGUUAUUUUAUUUUUCUAAAAUUGUUUGAAUUAUUGUUCCUCGAAUCGAGGGUCUAUCAAAAUCACUCUAGUUUAAUUUUACAUACUAUCUUACCCAAACUCCAUUUAUGAAAUUACACUUGAUAUGUUGUUGUUAGAGAGGCACUCGAUGAUGGAUCACAUUUGACCAACAUCAUGGAUCACAUUCCGGAUUUGGCUAAAAAUGUAAGGCUUCAGUUUGAAUUGGGCCCAAUGCUUAAUAUCAGUAAUUUUGCAAGUUUGAGCCCAUCAAUCAGAUGGGCCUAAAUAUGACCAAACAAGGCCCAUAUCUCUUUUUUCAAGUGUCACAUAUAUAUCAUAGUACCUUAGAUCACUAACGUUAUCCUAGAAUAAUUAAGGUUUUUUUCUUUUCUUAAAAGAAGUAUAUAAAUUUCGACAGUUUGAAGUUUAAUUAUAGAAAAUUUUAAACCUUUGCAUAAUUUUCGAAAAUCCCAAUUUUGAAUCUGUCGAGAUAUAUAAUUAGCUCUCGAUAUAUCGAACAAAGAUAUUUUUUUUCCUUUGUAAAGAUACAUAAUUAGCUUUUGAUACAUUUUUUUCGAUUUUGGUCUAUCGAGAUACAUAAUUAGGUCCCAAUACAUUCAUCUAAAAUACAUAAUUAGUUAGAAUUUUUAUAAUUACUUCGUAAGGAUGGAAAUUUGUGUAAAUAUGAUAAGUUGGAUGUAUGUUUAUGUUUUUCUUUUUUGUUGCUGUUGUUGGUUGUGGGUGGGUGGGGGAGCAUAUUUAGCACACAUUAUAGUUGUACCAAAGUUGGUAAUAAAAAAAAUUAUACAUGCAAUAUAGGGUCAUAUGACAUGUAAUAUUUCCAUUUGUAUUACUUUAAUGAACACAGACUUUUGCCACGUGAGAAUUUCAACCUUUGAACUGUCUAGCACAUGGUAAAAUGCUAGUGUUUCACUUGAAAAAUCUUCACUAAUUAUUAUUAAUUCUCAGAUCCAAUGUGUACCAUGACUUGUUUUUUCAUGUAUUCAUUUAUCAAUGAUCAUGAUUGAGUAAAAUAAUAAUUUAUAAUCUUAUUCCGCGAUUGCAUCUAAUGAAUUAUGAACUAGACGGUCACUGCAUGAAAGAACUAUGUUUAGGGAAUAAUUGCCCCUAUUCAUCUCACAAGGUACAUUUUGUAUAUUACUACUAGAAUUUUCUUUUUACUGCUAUUUAUAAAAACAUUAUAUCGUCACAAUUCAUCAUUUAUGCACGAUAAAAUUAAUUUGAUUUGACAUAAAUAUGUGACAUAUGCGUGUAAUUUUUUAAAUAUAUUUUUUUUUUUUGAUAUGUAUCUUAUGUUUGUAUCUAUCUUUAUACUUUCUCACUUUUUCCCUUUUUUUGCUUCUAUUAAAGAACACAUGACAUGAGAGGUGAGAGGAGCCAUUAUCAUUAUGGGGACAAGAAAUUAAGGCAAAAGCAAGUCAUGUGUUUGUGAAUCUAAUGCUGUCUUCUUGAAAAUAAUUGGACCCCUCUCCUCUCCUGUCUCAAUGCCAUAUAGUACUAUGUGAUACUGUGUGUCUCUGUCUUUAGCUGGGAGAGAAACAACGACAGAGUAAGAAUUUUUAUUAGGAUUCAAAAUAUAUAAAAAAUAUAACUACAAAAAAAAUCACAGGAAGCUAGCAUUUACUAUAUAUAUAUAAAAUACAUAAUUAUAAUUAUGUAUAAAUAAUAUAACUAUUUGAUCAAAGAAAAUUUGGAUGAAUCCCUCGAUCUACCUGACUUCGACCCUGAUGGGAUAUAUAUGGUUGGAGCUUGAGGGUCAUCCGAACUUUCUUAUAUAUAUAAAGUUAAUUAAAAUUAUUUUUUAUUUAUAUAUUACAUAUAUUGAAUUUUCUUUGUUUUUUUUACGAGUAAAGCAUCUAGUAUCCUUGAAUUAUGACUAAAUUUGCUACGACAUAUUUCAACUUCAUGGGUCCUAUUAUCCUCCUGAACUCAAUAUUAGCAUAUUUUUGUCACCCUUUUGUGCUGACCUGAUACCUUUUGUCAACUUUUUUUUACUAGUGUGACAUCUUUGACAUGAAACCCAUUUUAUGUAAUAAAAAUUCCACGUCAGCAUAAAAUAGUGAUAAAAAUACGUUAACAUUGAGUUCAGGGGUAAUAGAACCCCUGUGAAGUUGGAGUGCGUCGCAGCGACUUUGAUCAUAGUUCGAAGAGGUACCGGAUGCUUUUCUCUUUUCCUGAAUUUAUUUUUAGUGAAAAUUUGAAUUUUUUAUUUGAUUUUCCACCCAGUAAUCGAUAUUCACAUUACAGCUCCGACUAAUUUGAAUCGCUCGCUACCGAAUGACGCUCUAAUUUUUUUUUUUUUAUAUACUCAAGUAUUGAAUUGGAGGCUUUUGGAGUUAUUGCUUGGUUGUUAUUGGGGUAGAGGGGUGGGUGGGGGUGGGGUUUGAAGGUAGGGAGCCACCACAUGAGCACCUUGUGUUGUCUCCUUUUCGUGCACAUUAUCUAAUGAUUAAUUCUGCACCUUCUUCUUCUUGUUUUACAGGGAAGAAAAAGUCUUUUAUGAUCUUUUUCUUCUUAAAUUAUUCUCUUUUUCUUUUUGAUGAAUUUUUACUUUUAUGUACUAAUUAUCUUCUUUGAUCUUUUUUCUUUUUUCACUUUAGGGUAACCUCCUCUUCAAGUAAAUUAAAAUGAAAGCUUUUGAUGACAUGUGAUCAUGUGAUUGAAAAAAACAGAAAAGGAAAAAAAAAACAUCAUUAUUGUAUGUACAUAAAAUAAAAAAAGCAAUCAUCCCCCUCGUGACCAAAAGUGAGAUCAUCUAUUGACUAAUUAAUUAGCCUUUUGUCUAGCGUGAUAUAUAUUAAUUAAAUUGCAUUUCAAAUUUUUUCUUUCAAGAUUAUUCAAAUAUUAAACAUAAUUAUCUUUUAGGUCAUGAUCUAGCUAGAAUCACAAGAUUUCUAAAGCCCUUCUUGUUACUGAUAAAAUCUAUUUGUACUACCUAAUUAUUAUGGCCUUUACCCUUGAUUAUUCUAAUUGGUCUCUUGCUGUACCAUACUUUUCAAUUUAUUUAAUUGAUAUGACAUCAGAUCCUCAAAGCUCCCCAGAAACAACCCCGCAACCCACCCCACCCUCCACCCCGCACCCCCAAAAAAAAGACCAUUAAAGCUUAAUUAUAUACAAAUUGCAAUCUUCUUGUAACUUCAAAAAAGACUGUCAUAGUGUCAUGUGAAAUAGUUCUCAUCACAUGACAGAAAGCAACAAAUUGACCCUUGAAUUUAAUAUCCUAACAAAUUGACCCUUGAAUUUAAUAUCCUAAAGUUUGUGUUUGUAUGUGCAGAUGAUUUGUAAAUUAUGAAACUAAUGUUUCUUGGAUUUUUUGAAGUUUUUUUUUUAUAUUAUGACAAGAUCUUUUAUUUCAUGACAUGAUUGUAGAAACAUGUCGUUGUGCGACUCUAAUUAUAGAAAUAAUAAUAAUUGAUGUUCCACAUUAUAAUAUAUGAAAGUCGAAAAAUUAAAAAGGAAUUAAUCAUCUUUAUUAUAUAUACAUUUUCAAUAUAAGAAAUGACACUUAUAUUAAUAUGGUUGAAAUUGUUAUAACAGAUUAUUUGUUAUAUUUACAAGUUUAUUAUAUAAGGAAACUGCUAUGACCAAUUAUUGGUAGUUAAUUUUAAGUCGACUUAAAAUCUGAUGAUGUGAAAAAAUUAUACACUGAAUUAACCUGAUAGUAGUGUAGAUAAAGCUUUGAUAAAAGAUGGAUGUUGGUGAAGCUACAUCUAACUCUUUAAUGUAUGAUAACUUUUCAAAUUUAUUGAAACUUGAGAUCUUUCUCAUGUAUGAUAACUUUAGAAAUUUACUGAAAUUUUGAGUGGUUAUACCUAUCCUGAAUUUGUAUGUUACCUUAUAUGCUUUUUUUUUUUUUUUGUUUCUUAAUAUUUCUUGGUUAUGCUCGUGAUAGAGGGUGGACCGAUAAGAAUAGAUCAAAGAAGAGGAUUGACAGGAAUUUAGAUCGAAAGACUUUAGAAAAAUAAUGUACAUGACAUCAUAGGCGAAUUUCAUGUCAGGUGAUAAAGAAAAGUGAAAAGUAAUUAUAUAAAUAUAGCACAAGUUCACAAAGUGAUAAGAUCUAUAUUGGUCAUUGGAUCAAAACGAAUAAUACGUGUCAUGGGCUAGCUUUGUGUCACUACUGUUGUUAGUAGGAAUUGUUCACCUCAGCAUAAGUCUAUGUACGUAGAUUAAUAUAUGUUACUUAUUAAUUUGUUAGGUAAGUAUUACAUAAUGAUAGACUAAUUAUGACUAGUUACUACCUAAAAAUCCACCUAACCUUUUAGCAAAAAAUAGAAAGAUAAAAAUGUACUUAAUUAAAUUGAAUUAAAGGGGUUGAUGAAAAAGAAAGUUGAUUAGCAAGUGGAUAAAAAGAAGCUCUCACAAGAAAGUUGAAGAGGACCAUCUUAAAAAGACCAUCAAUCAUAUUUGUUCACAAGUAUAUAUGUUCACUUUCUUUUUUCUCUUAGAUGAAGCCUUAUCUCCAAACUUUUUUUGCAUUAUUAAGUUAUCUUAAGGGCACAAAAUUUCUUGAAAGAGUAAUUUGACUUAAUUUAGAUGUUGACAAAUGACAAUACUUUACCUGAUCAAUUAACUAAUCUAUCAAUAUUGGGGUUAAUAUUUUUUCCCCUAAUUAGGCAGACAUACUUGAGAACCAAAAUGGAUUACAAGAAAGAAUUUGACCAUCUCAUUUGGUGAUUAGAAUUUUGACCAUCUUGGUGAUGGAAGUUCGUUGAAGUUAAAGUGAUAUAACAUUUUAACUAUUUAUGCUUUAAUUCUCCGAUUUAAUUGGAGGGCUAAUCUGUUCGGCCAAACCUUUAAAUAGACUUUUUCUCGACAUUUUUCUUUUAUUAUUGUCGUACGUUGAUUUCAUACCUAAUUGUAUGGGGUAUUACGUAUUCACUAUUAAGCCUAUGCCCAUCCAUUUCUUUCAAGCUUGAUCCUUCCCCAGACUCGUUACCUUGUUCAAAAUGAAAUAGUUGGUUUUACGAUGAUCGUAAUCCGGUUCGAGAACCUUCUUUCAUAGAUUCCCUUCACCAAGUCAUCGUCUUAGACUCACCAUAAGUAAGAGCAUUUUGGAGCAAUAAGAGCAUUUUGGAGCAAUAUUGUAGGCAAAUCAUGAGGGGACUAACUAGCUACUUAGAUUGAUAGUAAAAGUAGCUCUUGAAUUGGAUAUCAUGUUCUCAUGAUUGUACCUUUUGCAGAAAAUCUUGUACCUUGCUCUUGUAAUAUGCCUUCUAGUCACUUUUUACAGAGGCUUUAAUUAAUUAAAGACCACAUAUCAUAGUUAACAAAAAUAAAAAAUAAAAAUUUAAGAUUAAAGAUUUUGGCUUCAUGGAGUAGAUGAACCCUCUUGUAUUUUCCAUCAUACCAUUUACUAUAUGGUGGGCUAGUAUGCCAGAAGAUAUUUUUAUGAUUAUGUACUAUAAAAUAAAUGCCAACUCCACUCUUAUUUGUCUUUCAACAAUCAAAGCUCACAAGUUUAAUUUGAUAUAUGGAGGUAUAAAAAAUAUUUACACAAUCAAGUUGUUAUUAUUAAGUAAUUACAGGUGAAUCUCUUCAUAAGCAUUAAUAAUUGGCCAUUUGGUCUAUAUGGUACUUGACCUACUAUAAAUAGGUUAUUUACUAAUAGUUACAAUUAAUUCUAAAUUCAUUUUUCUGAGUUACCUUACUUUUCUCUCUAUUUCAAUGUGAAAUUCGCUUUAAGAUGUAACAUGCAUCUGUCAUAUUAAUGUCAUGCUUCAUUGAAACCACUACAAAAUUGCCUUCCAACAGUACGAAUUGGACACGCCAAGGUCUAUACUGUGUGUUCAUUAUAGACCGGACCGGCUUAACCAUAAAGCUACUAAAGCAAUGGCUUGAGGUCCUAACUUUUAUGAAGCCUCCAUUUUAAAGCUAGAAGAUAGUUCACAGUGGUAAUAUAUACACGCAUAUUUAACAAUAAUAUCUGUGUGAUUCAAAAAUAUUUUUACUAUUUGAUAACGAAAUGCACGUAUGACGCACAAAAUGCACAUAAAAUGUGUGUACGUUGUAGACACCUAAUUUUGUCCCUCCCAAGUCCAAUUUUAUUCAUUUUUACCUCACUUUAUCAUACACUCUUACCCACGUGAUUAUACCCUCCAUAAAAUGACAAAAAUAACAACCCUUAACAAAUUUUAUCUUGUUUUGAUCCUAUCCUAACAAACUUUAUCCUUACACGUCACCUACCCUACCUCUACCCCACCUACCCUACCUCACUACCCCACCCUCACCUCACUGGAAUUGAAUUCCACUCACAAUAUAAUAACACUUCACACACGGAAUAAAGGAACGGAUUUUUGCUUCUUCUUCUUCUUUUCACACAGAGCACACACGGAUAUAUACGCACACUAACACACUCACUUCAUCAUCAACAUCACUCAAAAAAUCUAUGGAAUAGAUAUUCACAUCCACCAUUAACACCACACGGCACCUCACAAAACCAAUCUCUCCACCAUUAGCGCACACAACUCACAUCACUCUCACGCUCUACACGAAACCACAAACAUACCCACAUAGAGAUUGAGGUGGGAGAGAAACACAUUGAGGUCAAGAGAGGAGAGGCAAGGGAGAGAAAACCACUGAAAAUCAAGAGAGAGAGAGAUCGGAGACCGGUGAGUCUUCGCCUGAAGCUCACCGGAAAGGGCUCAUCCGUCGUCGGAAUCGACAAAACCAGCCCCCAAACAACUGAAGUCGACCUGUUAUGGGUUGAUUCCGGCCAUUUCCACCAGAAAAUUAUUCUGUCGCCCAUCACCGAUCAACCACAGCUGCAACCCAUUGAAAAUCGUUCAAAAACCUACGACCAAACUUCACCACUGCUACUGUUACUGUUUCGACAGCAGAAAUAAGUCGGAAAAGUAAUAUUCCCACUGAUUGAGUUUUGAGUGACGACAGUCGUGGAUUCCGUUUGAGAACCUCAAUUUGAGUUUGGGUUAGUCGUUGUCUUUGAUUGGGGUCGGUCCGUUCGUGUUGAGGAUUCCUCUUCGAGCUUUCGAAUUUCGGACUUUGGCUUUCAUUAAUUCAUUAUUACCAGUGAAAAAUCUGCGCUCUUGAGGUCCAAUUCUACUCCUUUCAUCUUUUAUUCCAUUUAUUAGUGAUGUUUGAUGCGUUGAAUUGAAUAUCGUUAAUUGCUUGUGUGUGAUGUGAAUGAUGAAUAUUGAGUUUACGAUAGUUGUGGAUUGUUGGAACUAGUGGUGUGAAUUAUUAUGUUUGAAUUUCGGUUUAAAAUUAGAUCGGGGUGGGAUUGAGGAUUGAAUAAUUUAUAAAAGUGAAUACGUAUUUGUUUUGAUUCAUUAUUAGCGCUUUAAUUUGGAAUAAGCAUGAAUUUUGUUGAAACAGAUAGGCAAACGUAGGUCGGGUAGGUGAAUGUAGGGAUUGUGGAUUGAUGGAAUAUUUGAGUUGUGUGCUUGAAUGGUUUUUUUUUAGCUAUAUUGUGUUGGGAUCCUUUGUAUCAUUUGGCCGGGAAAUGCCCCGAAGUACUUGUACUGAUUUAUCCGGGGAAUGCCCCGAGGUAUCUUGUACUUGAAAAAUAUUCGUGGUGAAGGCCCAAGGCAUCGGGUAAAGCACGGAAGCAUAGUUAAAAUUAGUAUCGGUUAGAUGUGAUUUAUUUUUGCAUUUUUUUAUUUGGACUGGACACUGUACUUUUGAUUCAUUUUUGUUUUGUUUGUCUGUUUGAUUAUUUUACGUAUUUUGUGUGGUUUGUACAUUCGUAGUGUCAAAAUUAGCCGAUACGCUCCACCAAUCGACCUUGGUAGAACCACGAGAUCGAGGGGUGCCUAACACCUUCCCCUCGCUCAACAGAAUUCCUUAGCCGAAAUCUCUAUUCGCAAACCAGUUUCAAAGAGUCAAAUGGUUUUGAAAAGGAUUUUUAAAGGUGACUUGGCACACCGAGUUUAUGUCAAGUGGCGACUCUGAAUAAAAAUGUAAAUAAUCCCUUUUCGAAAUAAAUUUUUAAUCUUUUGUCACUCAAUAAAUCAAAACCCUUUCGAAAUGUAAAAUCUAAUUUUUCUCGGUUAAAAAAGGGGUGUGACAGCUCUGGCGACUCUGCUGGGGAACUAUUUCAGAAUCUGAGCUUUUUUUUUGGAGUCGUAUCGGCUUUGUUUGGCAUGACGAGUGUAUAAGCAUUGUUUGUGAUUUUUGUUUGUGUUUUCACUUUUAUGCGUUUUCGUGCUCUUUGUUUACAGUAUUUAUCCUAUGUGUUUACCGCUUUUAUAUCUGAAAUCAUGUGAGUAACCCGAGUCAUUCUUUCCGCAACAAGUCUCGAAGCGCACGUUGUACGCACGAACUCUAGUUGAGUCACCUUUAUUUUAGGGGGAGAACCGUUGGAUGUAUGGAGUAGGUGGAAAGAAAAGCAGCCACUAUCGACCAUAUGCUCGCCCGAACAGCCUUGUUAGUAAACCAUAACGUAGGUCAGCCUAUAGGACAUUCUUAUGUGCAUCAUAUUGAGACCUAGCGGGGCUCACACGGUUCUUUGUAGGAGACUCACCCCUAAAGCAUCCCUACGUGCUAAAUGCUGCAUCUUUGAGGAUAACGUGGUCAUUUGACAGAUUGAUGUGGGGUAAAGCAUGUGUUUAGAAGUAAGGUGUGUAAAAAAAGAAAAAUCCAAAAAAAGAGUUUUGUAGUUUUUAGAGUUCUUUAUGGCUUUUGUUUUCCACAAUUCCACAAUUCAAAUUCAAAAAAGAUUUUUUUUACUUUUUGCGCUCAUUUUUCAAAAAAAGAAAAAAAUAUCAAAAAAAAUUUCCUUUUGUUUCCUUUAACAAGCAUUGACAAUUCGAAAACUCCAAAAAGAUUUUUUAGGAGUUUUUUAUAAAAUAUAAAAAUGCAAAAAAAAAAGGUGGUAGAAGUUUUGUACAUUUCAUAUAACGAAAAUACCAAAAAAAAAAUUCUUUCAUAGCUGUUGUUGUCAUUUUUUAUGUGAAGUGUCAAAUUGAAAACUCAAAAAAAAAAAAAAAGAUUUUGUUAUGUUGUUCAUUGUAUGUCUUUGGUCGUGUCUCAAGUCAGGGUGCAAUCCAUUAUUUAAUCAUUAAUUGUUCAAUCUGGACGAACUACGCACCCCUGAUUCUCCUCUUUCGGGAGUGAGAUACAUAGGCAGCCUACUGUUGGUUCGGGGAUCUUAUUUGAAAAAUUCAAAAAAAAAAAUUCACUCUCCAUUUAGAGUUGGCGUUUCAUAUACAUCUUUAAAAGAAAACUACAAAAAAGAUUUUUCAUUUAAUAGGUUCAAGUUUCGUUUUCAUAUGAAAUUCAAAAUCAAAAACCCAAAAAGAUUUUCUUUGGUAAUCAUAGGUUUCAUUUUGUAUAGGGAUGUUAAAGCCGAAGAAUUCAAAAUAUUUUCGUCAUUUCUUUUGACAAAUUUUAUUUUUCUUUUCUUUUUAAAGUUUCAAGAAAAAGAAAAAAAGAAAGAAAAAGAGUUUAAUCAGCCACUUAGGAAAGACUUCACGAACUACGCACACCUGAUUCUCCUCUUUCGGGAGUGAGAUACGUAGGCGCCCUUCUUGGGUUCGGUGAUCUUUUCUAAAAAAAAGGUUUUGAAGAAAAAGUGUUGAACUCUAACAUAUUUGUUACCUCUUGUUCAGUUAGUUUAAGGUGGUUGGUUUGUGGCUUCCUGGUUGGUCCUCCACAUCACACCAAAUCCAGGGAAGGGUUAGUUAUGUCCAACAAGGAUAUAGAGAGUGGCAUCGUGGAUGAAACAAAGAGUCGGGAAAUUGAGAGUUUAAAGAAAAAAAUUGAGACUGAGACAACAAAUGAUGAAAAUGUACCGAGCUUGGGCCAGUGGGUUGCCUCCACCUCCGUUCCCCACUUUUGUCCCUGCAAAUACCUUGAGUCUUCCACCAAAAUCGUAAAGUCAGUUUCUUACUGUUAUUGAUACAUCACAGCAUGCUGUAGAAUCCAUUUCACGUCAAAUGCACCCUAAUGCUUCCGCCUCUCAUUCUUUAGCUCCUCAAUAUAAGCCUACCACAUUCAUAGUACCACAUACCGUCAGUACUUUUAUUGCUCAACCUUCUACUGAGGCUUUCACAUUGCCAAUCAAUCCAACAGUUGUGUUGCCCCAAUCUACUAGUGGACCCAUGUUCAAGGCUCUUGAUGAUCAUUGCUAUAAUCUUGAGCCUACAGUUAAGUUAAGAGGAACGCCAAAAUUUCUUACCAAGAAGUCUAGCAUAACAGAAAAAUCAGAGAAAAUGGUGGGGAAAGUGAAGAGUGUAGAAAAUGAUAUGGAAAUUUUCCUGGACUUGUGGGUAAAGAAGAUGUUUCAUAUAAAGACUGGGGCAUGUCUUCAAGUAUCAGCCUUCUUCAAAGCUUUGAGAUAUCGAAAUUUGAGGAACAUGAUGGGCAGAAGGAUUCUGUGAAACAUUUGGGACGAUAUUGCAAUCAAUCCAGGGAAACUGAAGGAAAGAAGAAGGGAAACACACCUAUUGUCGUGCUAGGGCCAAAGCAGAGUUUGAGAGGUCCAACUCACCAAUACUGUCAGCCUCAAUCCCGAUCUUACAUAUCAAAUCCACUUACUCAUCUGCAACAAGGUGCCUCUUUUCAAAAUCCAAGUAGUUUCAUUCUACUUCCUCAAUGUCCUUUGAAUAAUGCACAAUUGUUUACUCAUCCAUCUUCUUAUCCACAAUGGUAUGCACCUGUCCCUCAACAUCAUCCUCAACCCCCACAAUAUUACGAAGGAACCUCUAAAUCCACGUUUCAUCCAAGGACAGAGUUCGC